RNAcentral lists this long non-coding RNA (48020 nucleotides) under Triticum aestivum (bread wheat). RNAcentral describes it as "long non-coding RNA (TAES_LNC024214)". The record is from RNAcentral. Lineage: Eukaryota; Viridiplantae; Streptophyta; Magnoliopsida; Poales; Poaceae.
UCUGAUAGAAAAAGGGGUCGCCUUCUUGUGCCGGUCUACCUCCUUUCACAUGUUAACGUGCACUUGUAAUUUCUUUUGUUCGUUCUAACUAUAACUGUGCUGCCCAUGAUUUAGCCAAACUAGUUAGAAAUAAGGUGUGUGUGGGGUGGAUGAAAGAUCCACCCGUAGAGAUUGUUGAUAUUUUUGUAAAAAAUUAAAAAAUACUUUUAUAAAAGAUAAUAUGAUGAUCACCUUACAAUAAAGAGUACUUUGAUGUAAAAAAACUGAAAAACACCGUCGACGAAAACUUAAGCUAAAAAUGCAACCGAAAUAACAAGAUUAAGAAAAGGGGAAUAGGAGGAGAUUACCUCAACCAACUUGGGACCUAGAUUUGCUGUCCAAAAAAAAAACUUGGGACCUAGAUCCAAGAGUUUUAGGGAAAGAAAUUGGAGAUUGGGCAGGAAUUUGGUGAUUUGAGAGUGAGAAACGGCGUCCUCUGUUCGUCGGCUGAGGAAGGAUUUUGGCUCCCGGUGAGACACGGCGUCGCAUAUGGCUGUGGCAUCUCAUCCGCUGCUCUCUUGCUCCUUCUCCGUCGCCUCCCCGAACCAUCCAAUCCUUCGACUCCUUCGCCGCCCUCUGAAAUCCUCCACCUCCAAAUGCUUCCUCCAUUCCCCGCGGCGGCGUCACCAACCAGUCGCCCGCCAGCCAGACGACGACGAGCAUGACGGAGAAGAGGAUAUGUGGAGCCCGGCUACCAGCCCCCCGAGAGCCCACCUCGUCGACACCUUGGAUGACGAAAAGGGCGGCCAUGGAUGGGGUCCACCCAAUGGCGACGGCGCAGAGGAGGGAGAGCAGCUCCAAGAAUACGAGGUGGGUGAGUGGGAUCCACCUGCCAGCCCGUCCCGAGCGCAGGCCCAGGAACAGCAUCGACAAGAUGAGGAGGAGGAAGAGGAAGAAGAAGAAGACGGCGGGGACUGCCCGUGGCUGGACCCGAGCUACUUGCGAAGUCAAGAAGGGGCAAGCACCAACACCACUGCGGCUAUGGAGGAAAUUCUCGCCUUUGCGAGGAGUCCAGUGGCGGCGGACGGCCCUGGGCUCGCUGGGUUCUUGGCUGGUUACAGCCGCGGUGCACUCGGCGAGGACGAGUGCGUGGAGUUGAUGAGGAGGAUGGGUGAGGAGCGCCUGGCGUUGGGGUGCCUCCACUUGUUCCGGUGGAUGCGGGCGCUUGAGGAGCGGCCGAUUUCGUUGUCGCCGCAGGCAUGGUUGGUGGCUCUCGUGGUGCUUGGACGGGCACGGAUGGCUGAUGAAAUCUUGGAGAUUCUGGGAAGGGAGAGGGGAUUUCGUGAGGCGGUUCUGUACAAUGCUGCAAUGUCUGGUGUUGCCUACUGUGGAAGGUGAGCACUGUCUUGAUUGGUCUGACAGAGUGAUGAGUGAUCAUAUUAAUUUCAUUCAUGCUAUCACUUUUGCAAGAUUAAUUAGGAGUUUGUAGUUACUUAUUGACCGACUUAGAUCGAAGUGACUUUUAUCUACUUCCCUAUUUCUAAAUGGCAUUUCCAUUAACCUUUUCGUACAAUACAAAAGAAAAAAGGAUUAAGCAUAUUGUUAGUUGUUGAUCAACAGAGGAUCCAAGUAAGUUUGAUUUGCUCCACUAUCUGUAAAUUCUUUGGUAUGAACUUCAUUGUUAUCUUGGGAUGCAAAUUAAGAAAACUACGGAGCAACAUAUUUAUAAUAGACUGUGCUAGCAUGAGAAUUGUUUAUUGAUAGGUUUGCAUAGUUUCAUGUCUUAUGAUUUUUGCUCUGUCCUAACUAAGCAUGAACACCAAUGGAGAUUCUAACAUGCUACAUUUCUUCUGUGGUAAGCUAUGUAUUAUUUGGUGUGAUGAACAUUUUUCUACUCGCUCCAGAUAUGAUGAUGCCUGGAAAAUAUUUGAGAGUAUGGAGAAGAACAAUGUCCAACCUGACCACAUAACAUCCUCAAUCAUGUUAAUGGUAAUGAAGAGGCGCAAAGCAUCAGCCAAGGAUUCAUGGGAGUCCUUCCAACGAAUGAACAGAAAAGGUGUCAAGUGGAGCUUGGGUGUCUCUGCUUCUCUAAUUAAGAUAUUUUGUGAUGAGGGGCUGAAGAAAGAAGCACUUAUCUUCCAAUCAGAAAUGGAGAAGAGAGGAAUUCUGUCAAACACGAGCAUUUAUAACGCAAUAAUGAAUGUAUAUUGCAAAUGCAGUCAAAUUGAAGAAGCUGAGGGCCUCUUUGCUGAGAUGAAAGACAAAGGCUUAAAACCAACAAGGGUGACUUAUAAUAUCCUUAUGGAUGCUUACAGUAGAAGAUUGCAGCCAGAAGUUGUUGAAUCGUUACUUCUGGAAAUGCACGAUUUGGGAUUUCAGCCAAAUGCUAGGUCAUACAGCUGCCUCAUAAGUGCCUAUGGGCGGCAGAAAAAAAUGAGCGAAAAGGCUGAAUAUGCUUUCCUGAGGAUGAAGAAAGGUGGCAUCAAGCCAACAUCUUCUUCGUACACAUCACUGAUUUGUGCAUAUGCAGUGAGUGGACAGCAUGAAAAAGCCCACACUGCAUAUUUCGAUAUGAAAAGAGAAGGGCUUAAACCUUCCUUAGAAACAUAUACAGCUUUGCUUGACAUGUUUAGGAGGGCUGGUAACAUAGAGAAGUUAAUGGAGACAUGGAAAUCAAUGACCGAUGAAAAGGUUGGAUGCACUAGAGUCACAUUUCACAUGGUACUUGAUGGUUUGGCGAAACAUGGGUUGUAUGUUCAGGCAAGAGAUGUAAUAUGUGAGUUUGGAAACAUAGGUUUACCUCCUACGGUGAUGACCUACAACAUAUUGAUGAAUGCUUAUGCAAAGGGAGGACAGCAUUACAAAUUGCCCCAACUCCUGAAAGAGAUGUCUACUCUGGAACUAAAACCAGAUUCAGUUACAUAUUCUACAAUGAUAUACGCAUAUGCUCGCGUCCGCGACUUUUCGAGAGCAUUCUAUUACCACAAGCAGAUGGUUCGAAAUGGACAACUGCCUGAUGCUAAGUCAUACAGAAAGCUGUUGAAUACCUUGGAUGUGAAAUCUGCAAGGGAAAACAUAAAGGAUAAGAGUGCCAUUGCAGGAGUUGUAAAAGGAAAAUCUAGCUUAAAACAUAGGAAGGAAAAGAAGGAUGAAUUUUGGAAGAACAGUAAAAAGAGGUCUAUGACCCAAGUUAAUGGAUACCAGAGAAAAAGAUUUUUGUGAUGUUUCACUAAGUGCAAGUUUCAUUGUCUUUACAGUACUCAUCCCUUAUGUUAUACCAUGGUCUCCACGCUUUAAUUCUCUUGAAUUGUUCAGGAUUUUAGGUCAGAAACUAUGAAGCGUGUUAUUAAUUCCAUAAAAAUUCACUUUGACUGUCUGUCUGAUUUCAUGAUCUGAAUACACUUGAUUUUGCAUUUUAAAUUGCUUGAGCUUGAAUAACAUCCAGUUAAAUGAACUUCAGAUGUUUGUUAUUUUUAUCAUGGGAGGACUUUUAAACUGCUCUUUUAGGCUUUCUGAUGUUCAAACUAGAAUAUGAUACAAUGAAAAGAUGCCAUUUGGAUCUUAUGAACAUAUUAUGUUUUCUUUUUGAAUCAAAGGGAAAAUCCCCAGUUCCAUCCAGUUUUAUUUUUGCAGCUUCGUCGUAUAGAGGAAGAUAAUUUUGGUUUCAAUCUGCACAUUCCCUAUUUCCUAAUUAGACAGGAGAAUUUGUAAUCUUCUUCUUUUUCUUUUGAGAAAAGGCAAAGGCCAGCUUUUUUAUAGAACACUUAACAGAGGUCCCCACCGGGGGUUUAUAUUCUUUUUUUCACUAUUGUAAACAAAGACGUGAGAAUGUCAUUUCUCCUACAAGAACACCAGCUACUGUAUUGUUGCACAGUACACAUUGAGAUUGUUUUCACUCUACUAUUCCCUCUGUUCACAAAUAUAAGAUGUUCUACAUAUUUCAAUAUGGAUUACAUACGGACUAAAAUGAGUGAACAAACACAUUAAAACGUGUCUAUAUACAUUUGAUUCAGAAAAAUAUGAACGAAGGGAGUAUUACACAGUGCACAUCGGCCUCAUUUGAAUCCAUAUGGUUCCAGGGAUUGCUUUCCUGUUGCCAUUGAUUUCUUGCAGUCAUGGUGGAAAGUCCAGCAAUAAGGCAGUUUUCAUUGAUGUAAUCUUCAGGGUACUCCUUUUUUGUUCUACUCAUUUCACCAAACCCAUCUAUUUCAUUACUUUCAAUUCCCAUUUGAGACCAACAGCCUUCUAAUCUGCUGGAGGGUCAACCAUGAUCAAUUUGAGACCAACAUCUCUGCAUCCAUGGCUCUUUGCCAAAAUGCUUCUUUCUUUGUUUCAUCUAGAGUUGUAGGCUCCUCUAUUCCCAGCAUACACAAAUUGUCAUAUUCGAGGUCUAGCUCAGAGGGAGACGUGUUAUCCAGCAAAUUCCUGAACGGAACUACUCUGCACACUAUGAAUGAUAUGCACGACCAUUGCACGAUGCCCCAUCCUGCGGUGCGCAGCUGUUUGGUGCCAUGCAUGGACGGCUUGGUAGGCUUGUCGUCCAAAAAUCGUCUGCAGAGCUCAUUCCUGAAUGUUGCGGUAACCUUGUGGUCCAGCACUGAACUCUCUGGGCUCACGUCAUACCCACCCACUAUGCCAGGUUGUGGCACCGUUGGGGUUGACGGAGUGCUAGGAGACUGAGAAGUGUGCUCAGAUCUCAUUGUUACCUCCAAUCGUUAAAGUGGUUAGGAUAGUUUCCGAUCGAAAUUGUUUCCAAAUCUGGUUUUAUAGGGUAUGGUAAGAAAUCUUUGACAUCCAAACACAAUUUGAUCUGAGUCCAACCGAUAGGAUGCAGUAUAUGAUAUGGUAUUACUAGUAGGUAAUUGCUUCAAAAGAAAAUGUGCUUGAAGUAUGACCAAAUUAGAAAGGUUUAAGCAUACAAGCCAAUUGUUUAAUACUACUACACAAAAAAGUGUUUUAAAUUCUUCAUUAUUAUUAUUAUUGCGAUUUUUUUCUUCAUUAGCAGAUAAGAUACGUGCAUCCAGGAAUUUUAAAAUCAGUAGCAAUGUUGUCACACAUGCGCAUUCAAGGUGCUUGGCCAUCAAAAUUGGCGCACACAAAUGUACGAACACAAUCCUCUAACCUAUCGCUGAGUAUUUCAUGAGGCGAAGGGGAGUUUAGUAAUUCAAGCUCCAGAUAACCAAUAUAAAUCUUCAUCAGGUUCAGAAUGCAACGAUAUAUUAUAAACUAAAUUCUCUAGCAUCACGUAUAAUUCAUCUCUCUCUGGAUGAUUCCGGUCUUCCACGAGGAAUACAUGAACUAUAUCUUUCAGUUCAAUCCAACUGCACCCUGGUUCCUUUUUCACAUCGAGACUUCUCAAUCUUGUUCUUACCUUCACAACAUCUUCCCACUUCCCCAAUUUAGCAUAGAUAUUAGACAUGGCAACAUAGGCAGAUAUAUGCUCUGUGCCCAUGCAAAGCAACUUUUCAGCAACUUUCUCACCCAUCUCCAGGUCCAUUGAAUACCAGCAGGCAGUGAGUAGGGCUCCCCAUACCACCUUAUCUGCUGGUACAGGCAUUUCAGAGAUGAACUUCUCAGCUUCUCUGAUGCGUCCAGUCCGACCGAGAAGAUCGACAGCACAGGUAUAAUGCUCGACAGUUGGUACUAGUCCAUAGCUCUCCAUAGAGUGGAAGAACCUCAUCCCCUUGUUAACUAAACCAGCACGAGCACUAGCCAUAAGGAGGCCCAAAAAAGUGAUUUCAUUGGGAUUGAUAUGAUGCUUCAACAUCCUCCCAAAUUCUACUACAGCUUCCAGCCAUUGACCAUUCUGCGCAAGCCCAUUGAUGAGCGAUGUCCAAGAAGCGACAUUUGGUGACGCAAUGCAACAAAAUGCGCUACGUGCAUCACCGACACACCCACAUUUCAAGUACAUAUCCACAAGAGCUGUCCCAACAUAACUAUUGGACUCGAAUGGAGUCUUGCAGAGGUGAGCAUGAACCAUUUUGCCUUGCUCAAUGGUUCCAACAGCAGCACAGGCGUGCAAUAGAGCAGGGAAUGUUGACGGGCUGCAUACAAUUGGCAAUCGACACAUGACCACAAAUAGUUUUAGAGCUCCUGAAGGAUGAUCAUUCUGAACGUAACCAGAAAUCAUAGAAUUCCAUGUUAUCGUGUUUCCUUCAUCCUUAAUUUGCUCAAAUAGCUUCAGUCCAUCCUCCAACUUCCCAUUCUGUAGAAGAACUGACAUCAUGGAGUUUAAGGUCACGAUAUUUCUCCGAGGCAUCUUUUCAAACAUCCUCUGACAAUCAUCUAGUCUCCCUUCAAUACCAUACAGUUUAAUCAUCAGAUUGUACGAACCCGAAUCGUGCUCUGACAUCUUCAAGAAAACUAUCUUUGCUUCCUCCGUCCUGUGCAUUGAUAUAAGCCCCCCGAUCAAUGCAUUGGAUGUGAUCAAGGACGGGUUUUCCAGGUCACUGUAAACCAGCAAGGCAUCACCCACAGCAUCAGAACUGCAGUAAAGAUCCACAAGAGCACUGGUGAUUAACUUGUCGGUAUCAAACCCACUUCGAAUCAAACAGCUAUGAACCGAUCUCCCAAAAUCCAACGCUCCCAUCUUUACGCAUGCCCUCAAAACACUGUCGAAAGUGAAUUCAUUCGGCCUCACUCCAUCAUCGGCCAACAUCUGAACAAAUAACCAAAUCGCCUUGCGACAGCACUCACCCGCUCCUCGUGCAUGGCCCGAUAUAACAGCGGUCCACGCAAACACGUCACGAGGCGCAGGCAUCCUCUCGAGAAGAUCCAGGGCGUCACCCGGCAGGUUGAACCUCACAAGCGCGACGACCAUCGGGCUCCACAUUCGCUCAUUCCUCGGAUGAAGGGAAUCGAAGAGCGUGUGAGAUGCGCGCAGAUCGAAGCACGAGGAGUAGAAGUCGAGAAGAGAGGGCCCCACGACCUCGAGGCUCUCAGACCCGGACUUGAUCACCUGGCAGUGCACCUGUGCCCCGACUCGAAGGAGGCGGCCGCGGGCACAGGCGCCAAGCACCGACGCGAAGGUGGCCUCGCUGGGGCUGACCCCCGAGCGGUGCAUGCGCGUGGCAGCGUCGAGCGCGUCCAGUACGCUCCCGCGCCGCGCGUGGCCCGCGACCAUGGCGUUCCAGGUGACCACAGUCCGGCGCGGCAUUCCGUCGAACAGCCUGCGCGCGGCCACGGUGUCGCCGCUACUGAGCAGAGCCGUGAGCCGCAUAUUCUGCGCGGUGACGGCCGCAUUUUCGUCAGGCUGGGUCGACGAGUGCCGCGGUGAGAGCCUGCUUGCGGUUGCGGGGGUAGCCGGUGGUCUUGGUCUGCGCAAGGCGAAAGGUCUGGACCUGGAGAGCAUGCAGUAGUCUCGCGGAGGCUUGGAGGGCGCUGCGUGGUGGCGAGAUGGCGUGGUACUGGUGGGUAAGGAAUGGCAGAAUAGGGCCGUGCCCCGAAAACGGGUCGAAAGGAGAGAGGUGACGCCGGCGAGUAGCUCAGGAAUUGCCCUUGGGGAACUGCCCGGCUGCCGGAACGACGCCGCGCCGUACGAGCGUAACUUUUUCUCUCAAGAAAAAAAAAGUAUAAUUUUCGUCAUCGAACCUCGACAGUCUAUACAUAAAUGAUCUCUCAACUUUAAAACCCGUCCCUCAAUUAUUGAUACCGAAUUUUUUUCAUCACUCGAGUAAAUCUGAAUGCUUUUGUGUUGACAUGAUUUUUUUAUUAUUUUUUGCUGAAGUGCUGACAUGAUUUUGACUAUACCUCGCCGCAUCAUCGUCCAUCUCACCCUUCUCUUUUACCUCACCCCCAUCAGCUAGUUGUCGAUCUUUUGCCUCUCUUCUCACUCUAACGUGAUCGCUAGGACACCCCCCUCCCCAUUCCACCCUUGCACCUAGCGCUACGAUUCAUGCAAUCGAGUACGAAAUCAUCGUCGGAGCACAUCAGGCCCGGCCGUCGCGCCGGACCUUGCCGCCGACAUAGCCCUCCUCAGCUUCUCCUCCAUGUGCCAUUCGAUUCUAAUCAUUGUGCGUUGCUUCUCCCCCGAGACUCGAUCACUCUCUCAUCUUGUAUAGAGAAAACACGAGUGAUGCUUGUUUCAUGUCGUCGUUGGCGUCGUCUCUUCUGCACACGACCAACAACCUUGACGAGCUAAACCACCAUUUGCAGGCGCUCCACCUUGUUGUCGUAGUAAACCACAUAGAAGGAACCGAUGCAGGAGGCCCUAAAUCGUCGGACACCCAAAUCGUCUUCUCCGGCUUUGGUGACCACCACCACAUCGCGAUCUCCUCCAGCAAGCUCCGGUUCUCCUUGUUGGCUUUCCUAAGCUCGAUGUGGUGCUACUGAAGUCUCGUGUGUCCUACCUGAGCAGCCCCUCACCCUCGAGCUCACCCGUCAUGAUCCCGUUCUCCGUUGCCCACAAUCAUUGCUCCGAUGAUUCCCGCCGCGUCCGAGGAGGCUUACAUGCUCUAGGUAAGCCCCUUGUUGUGUAUCCCCUCUUGCCAAGCCUCCCGGUGUGUCUACUUUGAUGCCCGCAUAGCGCCGCCCUUCGCUGGAAAGUUAUCAUGGUGAAGCUUCGGCCAUCCCGCGUGCCCGCGCUUGCUCCCCAGCUGCACAACUCUCCCCGCUAACUCCCGCCUCAACCGUCGUGCCCACACACUCUCCUCGAUGCUACAAAAUGUGACAGUGCUCCCGAGGCACCCUGGCAGUGAGAAUCCCAGGGUGUACACACAAUUAGAGGACUACUGAUGGGCUUUAUGCAAAUUUGCAGGAGCUUACUCCCUAACCGUUGGAUCUACAACAGGUGCCCCCGGAGGUUACAUAGUCACUCUUCUAAAAUGUGCAAUGAAAUUAAGUUGAUCGAUAAGGGCAUGGAAAAUGGUCAAUAAGACGGUCUUCUCUUAUAUUCCAUGUCAUGUAGAAAAGCCAAACGAACAUGUUAUACAACACAUUGUAUCUCAACAUUAUCUCCAACAAUUAUAGUUUUGUCUAUUUUCUUUUCCGUUUCUGUCUUACACCCCAUCUAUCAACGAGUGGAAGGAGUAUGCGUCUGUGCACGAUGAGACCAGCUUUGCCAGAUCAAUGCGAAAAAAAGUGCGGUUUUCUGAGGCUAGCCGUUUCACCACAUCCAGCCCAAAAGGUGCAAUUCUUGUCACAUGCACCCGGCUCAUCAUGCAACUUAUCUUUCGGAGCAGAAAUAACCCUUAAAUUUGGACAACAAAAAGGCUACAGAACUGUACAGCUCUCAGUAAGAAAACGGUAACCUCCAGUUACGACGAAGUAAAACUAUUUUUCUGAUAUCACAUGUCUAGCUUACUCACAAAAAAAAACGCAUCUCCUGUGAGCUGAAACUACCCGAACAAACAUAUGAUCAUAAUCCUAUUACUGUUAGCUGGUGCAAUUUCCUAAGGCCGUCAUUGCCUCGCUGCUAGUGCAUGACUUGUGCACCGGUGAAUGCUAGGUGCUAUAGCUGCCAAGGUUGAACUGAACCGCUGAUGACCCAACAUAUCAUCAUCUGCUAGAUGCAGAAUCCGAAAGCAAUGGUUGAUGGAUGGAACUCUUGUUCCUACGCAAGUCAGUUAGUAAAUAAUCGAGAUAGGUCCCAGUCGACGACUCCAAAUUCCCUGGGGCUUGGGCGUGUCCGUCGGUUUGCUCAAUUUGCUGGAGAACAUCGAUGGCACUAGGUCGGUACACGUUCCUCAAGUAUCUGAGAGCCAGCACUGGGCCCAUUCCUGCGGCAACAAUCAGCUGGGAAAAAUAUAUUUUCACCAUACAUAACGGUCAGGCCACAGUCAUAGCUAUAAAAGAGUAUAUACAACCAACAACAGUAGACUUACGGCCAUGGUGAUCCAGUAUGAAGGUUGAUUACACAGAUGCCACAUGACAGUGUGCAUCUGAAGGGUUGGUACCGCACUGAGUAUUAGGUUGAUCAUGUAGAAGGCUACAAAGUUCCCCCAUAUGAGGGUGAUUUGUGGACAAGUGAAUGAGCUGAAGACAGAAGACAGAAGACAGUGUAAGUGAAGUACGCUAUGAUGUGCUUGUAGCAACCAACCGUAAGAACUUACUUAGUAUCCAGGGUCACCACAAAAGCCUGCAACCAAAUGCAUCCAGACAGGGCAACCAUGGAGAGUUCCUCCAUGUCACUUUUCUCAUCAGCAUAUGCGUUGAUGGUAAUUAGGAAAACAACAAAUGCCUGAAACCACAAAAGAUCAAAAUCUCGUUAUGGAGAUUAGAUUUUCACGUGCAGCUAAAGCAUGGUGGAUGUAAAGGAUUAUGUGUGAGCCAUGAUUAGGUACUCAUUUACAUACAGGAAAUAAAUCAAGACAGAGAAAAAUCAUUGACUUCAUGUACUAAUUGUGCACACUGCAUUUGGUUAGCACACUGACUGAUAGGUGUAUGUGUUAUUCGCUGCAUAUUCAGGCCUACUGAAAAAUCUCACAAGCUGCUCGUUAACAAGUGGUUUGUUGUCCACAAUAGAUUGCAUUAACAGAGCAAGAGAUACUUGAACAGAACCUUCACUACUACCCACGUCCCAACCACUGCAUCCACUACACUUCAAUAUAUUCUUCAAGAUACCGAAACCCAGAUGAGUACAACAUAAAAAGAAUGAAAGAGUAAUGUUUAUUUUACAUGGUACAGCGAUCGCCCAAACCAUUCAGCAAAUGUACUGCGAUUCAAGAGCCUGGAAACACAAUGAAACUACUCAUAUUAGUCAUGCCACAAAACAGCUACAUAGCACACUUACAAGAAGCCUCAACAAAUAAAAAUGAAGGACAAAAAAAUUCUAUUUGUACCUCCCAGCUUGAGAAUAAAGUAAAAUCUGGGGAUAUCGCAGAACUGUUGCUUCAGAGAUAUCCUUGUCAAAAAUUAUUGUCAUAACCGGAAGACUUGUGUAGAAAACAUUGUAGGCCAUCAGGCUAAUCGAGUUGAAGAUACUAGUUCCAGAAAGCCCUGACGAAAAGGAAAAACUAACAUAGGACCCAGGUCAGCAGUACGUACGUAGUGGCUUCCCAGUAUAAUCAGAGGUACUGCUAAUGGAAAGAGCAUUAGGAGGCUAGACUCACAGAAUCUGUAUAAAGCAAAUCAACAGUGACUUGUAGAAGGAGUACUGCGAAAUAAAUGCUGUGCGAUUGUAUGAAUAUCGACCAUGGACAAGUAUCAACCUUCUGAGAAACUUGAACUCUGCAAAACAAUUGGAAAACAUACAUACUUAGACUUGGUAAAAGUACAUGGAACUUGGAGGUAGAGUUCAACAAAAGGAUAAGAUGGUAGGGAUUCUCAGUACAAAGACAUGAUCCAUUGGACAUUUUCUUUUUCAGAUGAAAAAAUGAUACCAGUUCAUAUGGAUAAACAAAGGUCGAAAGUUCACAAUCUCUGCCUACACUAGUUUGGAAUCUCUAUACAGGGUUCAGAAGACUGGAUGGUCAAAACCAGAGCCAGACAUGGAGUGGGUUUCUAGGACCUGGCUUCAGCUAGAAAGACGAUUAAAUCAGCCUUCAAAAGUUCUAGACGACCACAUAAUGUUUAACAUUGUGUCCAACUUAAAAUAAUGCAAGCAUAAGAACACCUCUGAGCUCAACAAUACAAAGGCAGCACUGACAUACACAUUACAAGGUAAAUGUAAAAUCAGGAAACUCUGUAAAAUUAAUAAAAGAUGCAUACUUCCAAUGCUAUAAUCAGCAGCUCUUGCAGCUUGCAGUCCCUCCCUACCACUAAUCCCUACUCCAACGUUAGCCUCUUGAAUCAUUCUUACAUCAUUACCACCAUCACCAAUUGCUAGAGUUAAAGAACCAGAGGAUUUCAGGAUCCCAACAAGCUGCACAAAUGCAAAAUAAAGUUAGUUUUCAAGUGACCAGCUAAAUAGCAGCAGCGCAUGAUAUGUUAUUGAGUAGCAUCACGAUAACUGCAUCAAUAUUUCAGACUCUUGCUCUCCAUCAGGAUCUACAUUGUCCCUCAUUAAGUAAUUUAUUAACACUAGCAAGAUGCCCGUGCAUUGCACGGAACACCAAGAUGCAUUUAUUUUACAAAAAAUCUGUUGCGAUUGACCCAUGAGGGAGUAAUCUUAUGUGUAAAAACUAACGGCAUCUGCAGGUUUACAUAACUCAGCACGUACACCGCUGAUGCAGAUCCUCUCCGACACUGACCUCCGCAAGCACGUCGAUGGCGCCAUCCGUGUCCCAACAGCUCAGACUGAGCGGAGUGGGGGAGCCGAGAAAGAGGAGAGAUAAGGUGAGGAGGAGUGGUGCGUGGUGGUGGUAGGUGGUCGGACUGAGCGGAGGCAUGGGGAUGGACGACGCCGGCAGCGGCCACCAUGCCAGAUUGUUCCAGAGGCUUCCUUUUUUAAUUGCUCAACAAUGAGCUUAUGUGAGAUAAGGAUGAACGAGGGAAGGCCUUAUAUGCAAAUGUGGAGAGAGGUGCGGGUAUCUUUUUGCAAAAUUGCCAUAGUUUGCUUUCUAUCCGUCGGAUAUAGAUCGGACGGUCUAUAUUGCAGGAUGGCAGGCACACCAUCAUCACCAGCUCGUUUUUUAUAAGAGUAGAGAUAGAGAUAAAGUCCAGUAAGUCCAGUUGAACGCUACGGCUCCAUUUGCAUCGAGGUGGAUUAUAAUAGUAUGGGAUGUCAUUAGUAGAAUCAUGAAAAAUAAAUCAAAAUUGUAAACGAUCUUGCCCAACAUGAGGAUCUUUGGUACCAAAGACGACAUAUACUCAUCCCAUUCAGUUUUUUUAAAAACAAAUUUACAUGUCAAAAGGUAAGAAAACUGUUGGUAGGAACAGCCAAAGGGAAACCUGUGCUUUCUGCAAAGGUGUCAUCCGACAGCAUAUUGCUGUUCUUGACAUCAUGGCCAGCUUAGUGAAAGAUUCCAGUGAACGCUUCAGAAUUAUUUCGAGUGCCCAACCAUCCAAAACGAAUGCAAGAUCCUGCAUAAACAGAUUUGACAUGAAGUACUCCAGUCAACCAAAACAAACUAUGAACCCAUUCAGAAGUAACAUAGUUUAAGUUUGACAAACACACUAAAGAAUAUAAUAGCAAAUAUGAUAUGAUAGUUCAAACUGAAUAUACAAAACGAAAAAAAAAUCCUGAAGAUUUAACAUAUACUCCCUCCGUUCCUUUAUCUUAAAGUGUAUUUGCUUUCUCCUGCUUCUAAAGAUUUGAGUUGGUAGUGAGUUCACUCACCCAUUCACUCUUCCUCCUACCCAUGGGACCCACUGGAUCCAUACCAAAUAUUAAAAGGACCAAAGGAGGAUUGUUUCUUCCCUAUUUGUUUCGUACAUCAUCCCCUCCCAUACGGUGGUUUUUACAUAUGUCAUUCCCUCCCAGUAGUAUCGAAUCCAUCACUGCACAGGACCGACCCGGCCACGAUCACCCCACCUGUGCCUACAUACAACCACACGAACGACAGGAUAAGCGAUGUCGCCCAAGAUAUACCUAGCACAUCUGUUGUCAUCGUCGACGUACGGUGACCACCACAAGAUGUGCGGCUACAUAUCGUCUGAUCCCAGCCGCACACAGGAACACAUACAUGGCGAUGGCGUCGCCGUUGCCGUGGCUGACCAUGCCGACGGCCGACAUACCACCACAUGUGGCACGACACCCGCUCCAUCCGACUCCCCUGAUCCAUCCCCUCCUCCUGAAUUCGUCAGCAAUUACUCUCGAUCCCCUUCUCCAUGCGCUGCUCAAUGGGUAGUCGCACGAGAUGGCCUGGAGGCGGCCUGAGGUCUGUCAUGAUCGCACAUCUAGGGCAGCGCAAGUUCCUCGAUGGACACUGUGCGGUGCGGCUCGACCUUGGCUGACACACUCAUCCACAACAAGCCGCGGCCCAGGAAGCGCUUGGGCGUAGGGGCAGCAGGUGAGCGGUGGAAGCGGCGCAGGGAUUCUGAUGCGGACGCCGAAACAAGGACGGGUGCUUCCAGAUCAGGUGCGAUCUGGUCGUUGCAACUUGCAACUCUGAGCACCCCUUACCCGAUGGCUUCGGUUUCCCCUUCGGGCAUCCAAGCCCAACAGAUCACGACAGUUCCCGCCCCGCGAUCGAGCCGGCGCAUGGCUUGCGUUUGAGAAGUUAAGGAAGAUCCUUCGCCCAACUCCGCAAGUCGGCCAGGGGCUACACCCACCAGGUGCACUAUCGGGCGCCCAAUAUCUACAAAGGGCAAGAAAACCGCCCUGUUCAUGCUUCACUCAUAUCAACAUUUUUUAAGAUGGUUUUUGUGAAACCGGAUGUCUCCAACAACAAAGAUAGGGAGGUAGGACACCUUGCUCACCAUGCACGGUUUUCCUCGAUUUCCUCCUGACGAGCCCGACAAAUCGUGUUAUCUCCAACCUCUUCAAGGCGAAGAUCACUUUUCCUUCCAAGGAUACUCAGGACUCCAUCAAGACCACGCCAAGCAUACCAAGAUGGCGCAUUCAGUUCAACAUCGACCCAGAUGUAGCCAAGCUCAUGACGGACUCAAGGGCUACUGACGGUACACAGUAACAGGGGUAUCCAACCUCCGGGGAAGUCGGUUGCCAGAUCGGCCUUAGGGCGCAGCUAUAGGCCAAGCCCCUCGCCCUGCCAGCAGGCCUCCCAAGAAGACCAGCCCAGCAAGCCGACUGUUGGCCCACCAGGGGCGACCUUAACUUGUACUCCAACAUACAUGUAUCAGUAGAUCUGAUAGGACUCUACUAUGUAAACCGACUUGGGCUCAUGUAACCCUACCCCUCGUUCACAUAUAUAAGGGGAGAUAGAGGGCUCCCAAGUCGGCAUCCAAUCUAUGUCAAGAUCUCUCAUACGAGACACCAAUCAAUACAAUCAGACAUGCAGGAUGUAGGGUAUUACCUCCACCGCGAGCCAAUCAAUACAAUCAGACAUGCAGGAUGUAGGGUAUUACCUCCACCGCGAGGGCCUGAACCUGGGUAAAAUCGUUCAUCUCAUGUGCACACCAUUCUGAUCCUCUAUGCGUACUCCGCCCCAUGAGCAACCCUAUCAUGGGGUUUGCCUGUAUUAUGCACCGACAGCCACGGUGCUGACCCCCUUCCACACCGUCAGACGCCGAUUGCAUCAACCUCAUCUUCCCCCAUGUCCUCCACCGAUGAUCUACCAGCAAAGGCGGUUACUACAGCCAGCGCUGCCGCCCGGUGCGGCACCUCUAGGGUCUGGUCACUGCCAGGAGUUGCAAAUCCGCUAGCCUCCCCUACCACCCCUUCUUAGGUCCACGUGGAGCCGCCGCCGCAACUUGGUCGUUGGCAGCGCACCCGCACUGAUGGCGCUGCCCAAGGUUUCCUUCCUGUCGAUCUUCUUGCCAGCGGCCGUGGGUGUGGUGAGGAUCCACUGCAGCUUUAGCUCUGCGGCCGAGACAGUGACCACGUCGAAGACUAUAUCGUUGGGCUGUAGGCUGUAUGAGAAUUGGGUGUCCCAGCGCUUGGGGUUUUCCCUUGGCGGGGCCACGGUCUCUGCAACAACAAAGCCUUUAAUCUCAAACAAGUUGGGGUAGGCUAGGGGUGAAACCCAUAGGAUCUCGCGACCAACUCAUGGUUCUUGCACAUGGAUAGCAAGCUUCCACACACCCCUGUCCAUGGCUAGUUCUUUGGUGAUAUACUCCAAUCCUUCAGAUCUCUCUUUAGGGACUCCAGCCCCGACCUCUCUUGACAUAUCAGCACGCUUUAGCCCUCCGCUAUGCAUUGGAGCUUCUGCAGGCCUCGCAUGUAACCCUACCCCUCGUUCACAUAUAUAAGGGGAGAUAGAGGGCUCCCAAGUCGGCAUCCAAUCUAUGUCAAGAUCUCUCAUACGAGACACCAAUCAAUACAAUCAGACAUGCAGGAUGUAGGGUAUUACCUCCACCGCGAGCCAAUCAAUACAAUCAGACAUGCAGGAUGUAGGGUAUUACCUCCACCGCGAGGGCCUGAACCUGGGUAAAAUCGUUCAUCUCAUGUGCACACCAUUCUGAUCCUCUAUGCGUACUCCGCCCCAUGAGCAACCCUAUCAUGGGGUUUGCCUGUAUUAUGCACCGACAGCCACGGUGCUGACCCCCUUCCACACCGUCAGACGCCGAUUGCAUCAACCUCAUCUUCCCCCAUGUCCUCCACCGAUGACCUACCAGCAAAGGCGGUUACUACAGCCAGCGCUGCCGCCCGGUGCGGCACCUCUAGGGUCUGGUCACUGCCAGGAGUUGCAAAUCCGCUAGCCUCCCCUACCGCCCCUUCUUAGGUCCACGUGGAGCCGCCGCCGCAACUUGGUCGUUGGCAGCGCACCCGCACUGAUGGCGCUGCCCAAGGUUUCCUUCCUGUCGAUCUUCUUGCCAGCGGCCGUGGGUGUGGUGAGGAUCCACUGCAGCUUUAGCUCUGCGGCCGAGACAGUGACCACGUCGAAGACUAUAUCGUUGGGCUGUAGGCUGUAUGAGAAUUGGGUGUCCCAGCGCUUGGGGUUUUCCCUUGGCGGGGCCACGGUCUCUGCAACAACAAAGCCUUUAAUCUCAAACAAGUUGGGGUAGGCUAGGGGUGAAACCCAUAGGAUCUCGCGACCAACUCAUGGUUCUUGCACAUGGAUAGCAAGCUUCCACACACCCCUGUCCAUGGCUAGUUCUUUGGUGAUAUACUCCAAUCCUUCAGAUCUCUCUUUAGGGACUCCAGCCCCGACCUCUCUUGACAUAUCAGCACGCUUUAGCCCUCCGCUAUGCAUUGGAGCUUCUGCAGGCCUCGCAUGUAACCCUACCCCUCGUUCACAUAUAUAAGGGGAGAUAGAGGGCUCCCAAGUCGGCAUCCAAUCUAUGUCAAGAUCUCUCAUACGAGACACCAAUCAAUACAAUCAGACAUGCAGGAUGUAGGGUAUUACCUCCACCGCGAGCCAAUCAAUACAAUCAGACAUGCAGGAUGUAGGGUAUUACCUCCACCGCGAGGGCCUGAACCUGGGUAAAAUCGUUCAUCUCAUGUGCACACCAUUCUGAUCCUCUAUGCGUACUCCGCCCCAUGAGCAACCCUAUCAUGGGGUUUGCCUGUAUUAUGCACCGACAGCCACGGUGCUGACCCCCUUCCACACCGUCAGACGCCGAUUGCAUCAACCUCAUCUUCCCCCAUGUCCUCCACCGAUGANNNNNNNNNNAAUCAUCACAAUUUUGAUUCUUUGAAACUUCCUACUGCCAUGUUGAAUAUAUAUCAUGCAUGCAUGGUAGGCUAGCUCAUGUUGAUUUCAAGUUUGCUCAAAUCUAUAAGCGUAGACUUUUUAAGAAUGUUGUUAACGGGGCAUACAAUAUUAAGUGGGAUACUAAAAUGUGGAGAGAUCUCAAAUGUUGAAUUGUGCUAACCUAUUGAACGUACUACAGUCCUGAACUUUGGCAUUAGAAACAUAGGACAUAGAUCCCUCGCAUCGCUCUCCAGGGGGGCGGCUCGAGCGAAACCUAACCCGCCGCCACCCCCCUCUCACCACCCGCCCGCGACACCGCUGGGCAAAACCCGUGCAGCAGCCGACGGCGGCGGGAUUCCCUCGCUUGGUGGCGCGUUGUGGCUAGCCCUGCACGGCUUGGUGUGCGAUGCGAGGCUGGGCGCCGGGGGGCGGUCCCCGAGCUCUCUCUCUCCAGUAGCGGAUGGCUGCAGUGGUGGCGCCGUUGCUAGGCCGGCGCGGUGGCCUUUGAGCGGCGCGGAUCUGGCACAUCCGGCUCGGAGGUUUGGGAGCUGGGGCGGCUGCAGCGCGCGUCCUCAGCUAUGGGAGGCUCGGCCCUUCUGCCUGUGUGCACCGGCGAGUCUGGUGGUGGCGUCCCGAAGGCUUUGAUCUGGCAGCCGUGCAGUGCUAGCCAACGGCUGGUGCUGGGGCUGCAGCGAGACAUGGACGUGGAGUCCCGAUCUGGCGAGAUGGAGUGGGGUGGCGGCCCCUCCCUGCGUGGGCUGGUUGAUCGCGGGCUGGUUGCAGAUCAAUGGCGAAGUGGGUGUUGUCUCCUUCGUGCGACAUAGGUGUCUGGGCGCUGGAUCUGGCUGGUGCUAGCAGGGUCUGACUUGUCGGCGUACCGGUGGUGAGGUGGAUGGCUCCAGUGUGGUGGUGGCGCUGCCACGACGCCAGGGGCGUGCGGGUCAAUGGAGGUGCGGAGCGUGAGGGUGUGUUGUUGGGCGGUGCUUUGGGUGAAAGCUUGUCGGGCUCUUGCCGGCUGACGACGUCGGCGUCCGCGGACGUCGUUUCACUUCCUUGGAGGCGCCGGCGUGGAGUCCACCCCCUGCACAUCCACGGUUCCAGUUCUUCAGGUGAAAGCCUAAGGCCCGGUCGGGUCUGGCAACUGCGUCGACAUCGUUGCUUCCCUCUUUGGGGUGUUGCCUUGAAGAACUUUGUCCCGUUCGCACGCUCCAUGGGCUAGACGUUCGUGACAUUGCGGUCGGCAGGUGUCCGCCCGGCGAUGUGUUCUCUGUGCGGCUUGGCAGGUGUCCGCCCGGCGAUGUGGCCCGGCGAUGUGUUUUCUGUGCGGCUUCUUGUGUGGCGACAAUGUAGGCUUCAAGCAGAGUUGGUUUGCUGCUGGGUCUUGGUAGUCUCUUCCAGCGUGUUCAAGGGGUCGCCGUGCCUCACUUUGUCUUUCCGAAGUUGGAGCUGCUGAGGAUAGGCCCUUGCGGUGACGAUGACAUGCACAGGUGGUCGGUUUCAGCGCUGGCUCGACGCAAGCCCAGCGCUUUUAUCCUCCAAUGCUUGUCAACAGAGUCAGAGCUGCCUGGUAGCUGGCGCGAGCGGCUAACUGUUUGGCAUCAGCAGGCGCAAGCCUCGGCGCUUGAUUGCGGUGAGGGCUACAUCGGUGGUCGUCGAUGGUGGAGUCAGAAUCGCUCUCGAGGAGGAAUGAUGACGAUGACGCCGGGCUGCAACCUCAAAGGCGCUUUUCUCCUUGGCGGCGUGUGUGCGUUCUUGUGUAGGUUGGCAGGUCGCCAUGUGUGCCUUGUUUUCGCGGGUGUGAUGUGACGGUUUUUGCCCGGUUUUCCAUUAAUUAACUGGGCAAUUCUCUUCGAUCUCUUUUAAUGAAUCGGGCCCUAAGGGACCGCGUUUCAAAAAAUAGGACAUAGAUAGAAUGAUGAUCUGAUAUGCAACAAGCAAACACAUCGUUAGUGUUUUGGCUUACCUUGCAAAGUAGAACAAUGCUAUGUAUAGUAGCAUUAGCAGAAAUGUCCAUUAAUACGUAUGAUAAGAAAAUAAAUAACCAGUUGUUUCUUGUGUAACUUUAGAAGAGCUUGAUUGGAUCUUUUGAAUAACCGAACGAGGAUAAACUAUUUUUGCCUCUACUUUCAUCUGGUUCCGUAGCGUAGCAUCUGCAUCUUACUAGUUUCGUACUCCCUCCGAUCCAAAAGAAGUGUCGUGGUUUUAGUUCAGUACUAAAAUUCCACAAUGUAAGGUGCAUUUGUUGUAAUCCCACAUAAUCCCGUUUUUACCCCUCCACCACAUACAUGGAAACCUCACGUCCUCAUGUUAAAAUCAAGCAACCUCCCUAACACGAGCCAACCUCCCAAUGAUUUGGUUGAAAAAUAUACUCCCAAUUGAUUGGUUUGCAUGCGCUGCUGAUUCCUUGGGAUAUGCCGUUGCAUGGGCCAUGCAAGGGGAGCGGGCGAUCUGCACGCACCCUCAAAUCACUGGAUGAGGUCCAUAAUUGAUAUACCUGCUGCUAACCACCAAACUAAUCGAGGGUAAUUUUGUCCGAAAUGCUCCAUAAUUCCGUUCCUUGGUCAUUGUGCCAAAAAUAAUACAGCUCAGAUAAAGGAACGGAGGGAGUAUGACCUAAAGGCAUUGCAGCUAAUGUAACUUAUUGUCUGAGCAUCUAAUGUACUGACAUAAGACUAAUGUCAUUUUCUCAUGUAUACCAUUUCUGCUAUAAAAAUGGGGUACAGAAGAUAUUUGCCACAUAUAAGAUUUGAUACACCCGUGUAAGGUACAAUAUGGAAUCCAGAAAAAAUACCUUUCUUUCCAACGCAGUCUUCAUAAUUGUCAGUGCCCUCUCUAAGCUCUGUAAUAUGUCAUCUUCAGUUUUUCCAUUGAUGGACAACAAUUGACCUUUGGACUCUGCAGGAGAUACAAGGUUGCAGUGAUGAUUUUGGCAACAGAUUGAUGGAUACAAAAUAGUGUUGUCUAUGAUCAAUGAUCUGCAGUACUGACCACACGGUAAAGUAUAAAUUUAUUUUAUAAAGUAGGUGAUUACCAGAGGGUGCAGACGAAAGAAAAUAGCUUAAUGGCAAAAUUGUGUUCUUGAGAUGCUUUUCCUGUUUAUACCACAAAUGCAUUCCUGUCUAUACCACAAAUGAGUGUAAUACUGGCAAUAUGGUUGUGCAAAGGCUAUUGAGGAUUUGGGCCCUCUGGAACAGUCAUGCAAUAAAUGUCCUACACCUACUCUAAAUCUGUUUUAAUGUGUGGUUUUUAUUUCUGAGAUGCCUGCAGUAAGUUGCCAUUUUAAUACAUAAUUCUGUUUUGACAAAUACAACUUCUCAGUCUGGCGGUACAAAUAGGAUGACCAUUUUCUGACAGUUAACUGUCCAUGAACUCCUAGUAACCAUCUUCUAGUCGUAACUUAGAACCAACCACACCACGCUUAUUGGCAAGAACGAACUAAGAUCUUAUACUGGAAAGAGAUUAAAAGAUGGUAGACGAACCACGCAAGAACUUUCAAUGCUUGAACAGACGAGUGAAAUACUAGUAACUAGUAAUAGUAACCAACCGAUAAAAGCACCAAUGAAAUAAUAAAAGAUGAAAGAGGCUUGGUGGAUUAUUCCUCCUGCUCUAAGAUAAUUCGUCACAACAGGACAAGUGUCACAGAACAUUUGCCAGAUAAUCUAUUUCUAGUGAUAAUACAGUACCAGGUGUUAUGAGGUUACAGAGAAGUCCAAUCUGGAUUGCUGUAGUUUGCUUAUCACCAGUUAGCAUCCACACAUUGAUUCCAGCCUUCCUUAGCAAUUUAAUAGUUUCAGGCACACCAUCCUACCAGGUCACAACAAUCUAUGAGAAGGAGAACAGCAAGCAUGCAAUUGCACAAGUAAUUCCACUGAUUAUUAGAAAAAACAAUUAACAAAUAAUACCUGGAGACGGUCCUCUAUGGCAGUGAUGCCAAGAAUGUGAAUACCUUGCUCUAAGCUGUUACAGACUUCGGCAAUUUUAUGCUGUAUAUUAUGAAGCUCGUAAUAUACCUCAAAAAUAUAAAAAGCUACAAACUAAGUGAACCAUUAUGAACUGGUAAGGUCGGGAGUGAUUUACCUCCCUGUUGUCCAGUGAGCAGCUAGCAUCUUGAAAUUUUUUGGACCAUUCUUUAUAUUCAUCUUCUUCUAAGUCACGGCAUCCCAAACAUAAUGUCCGCAGACCCAAAUGAGAAUACAUUUCUACUGCCUCAAGAUAGGUCUUUGUUUGUUCUCCUGUCAUUUAUGUGCUAGAAAAUUGAUUAUCUUAUAUAACAAAAGCCAGGUGUUUAAUCAUUUGAUGCAUUCCCUCAAAUACCAUGCUUUAUUGCUAUGCAAACCAUUUUGGUAUCAAUUGGUGCCCAAGCCAUAUGUUCAUUGAAGGAGUGAACCCAAAUGGGUGAUUGCAUAGCAUAUAUUGACAUGUUUAAAAUAGAGUAGACACACACGGUUCAUCGAAGAAAAAACACACAGAGAGUAGAAAAGCCCAAAAACCUCUGCCUCCUGCUUCAAGGAAAAACUGGACACAACUUAAUAACAAAUCAGUCAAGGAAGACAACUUGGUGCCAAAAGAAGAAAGAAAUGCCCAACAGUGCUGUCAUCGAUCAUCAUGCUCACCGCAUGGUUGAUCAGGAACACCGCAAUGCUUACGUCUUCAACGCUGAGAUGCCUAAUGUUCGGAUGCUAAACCAACACGAAGCUUCAGGUUGUGCUCCAGUCAAUCACAUGAUAGGCAUAUUUUCCAGGAGCGGACUACUCGUACGCUUGUAAGUAUUACAUUUUCUAUCUAGCAAUGCAUCGAGAACACAAAGUUUUGCUUUUUCUGAAGAAACAAAGUUCUGAGAGGCACUUUAAUCUAGCAGAAAACAGGUUUGGAAGUAGCCCAAACUUCAGUGCUCGCCUUCGUACAAUUAAACUAACAAAUGAAGGCAUGCAAGAGUGUAUGAAAAUUUGAAGUAUAAUAGAGGAAAUACAAUAUUUGGGAGCUUCGUGCUGAUAAACCAUGUACCUGGACAAGAACGUGGGAAAAUAGCUUCAUCAGCACCUUUAGUGAGAAGAAGAAACUUCCCACUCUUGACCUCCUUUACCACAAUAGACAUUCUUUUGCGAUCAGAAGUGAACUCCAAAACAUCCAACACCUCAUAAUAAAAUUUAGAACCAUUGAAACAAAUCUCUGCAGAAUAUCAGACAAAAAUUGAUCAAGCAGACAAGUAACAGAAAACCUAAACAGAGUAAGAAGUUUACCAUCUUAACAGACUAUCAAGCAUUUACUAACCAGCAAUGCCGCUGCUGUCUUUACUUGUAAGCAACAUAUUCAGGUUUGAUGCAGCAUUGACCAAAGCUUCCUCGUCUUGUGACUGUGCUUUGUAUGAAAUAGUGCCAUCAUUGCUAAAAUUAUGAAAGGUAUAAGGAACAAUGCAAAUCUCAAAUAGGCAUGACAAUUCAGAAUUGUUUGUCCUUAAAAAUAGUGAUUUACUUGCCUUUUGAUAGGAACAACUGUGUUGCAAAGAGCCAUCACCAUCAGAAAUUUGACUACAUCCGGAUCGUUACUUGAGACAGCAUUUAGAAGUCUGGCAUCUAAUUAGAGGAAAUAAUACAUCUUACAGGACAAAAGACAGCUAUAGUUUGUUUUCAGAAAAAUAUUUUUGGCAUAUGAAUGAUAAUACAAUAAAUGGAAUGUUCAACAAAUCCGUGAGAAGAAUGCCCAGUACAGUUCUUAAUACCCACACAUCAACUUGCCUACAUUAAAAUCGCAAAGAGAAGUCUGAAAUUUAAGAUUAUUGAUCCUAAAGAUGACAUAAUUCAGCUCCAUCAUCACCCUCGAACUGUGCACGUGCCUUAUAUAGAUAUAAGGUGGGUAUUUCACCUCUUAGUUUCUGAAAUAAAGGUAUUCGCCUACUCUUUACAAAAGAAGGGUAUAAAUUACCAUUGCUCGCAUAUAACAAUAUAACACAAUCUCUGCAAAGCAACCGUGACCAACUCUUGGCGUCCGCACGUAUGUAGUGAUGAAGAAACAGAAGAUCAGUAGAAGUUAUGUGGUAUUUAGUGUUGAAACAUAUUGCCCGCUGUCCUAAGGUCAGUUCGAACUUUUGGGUGAACUGGUUGGUGCAUCCGAUUCAAUAUUGUACCAGAGCCAAGAGGCCUCAAGUUCUAGAUGCAACUAAUACAGUAUUUAAUAAAAAUAUAUGAGGUCUACAUCUAUCCCGCGUCUAAAUACUGAUGGAGCCUAGAAUUGAGAGGGAGUGUUGAAAUAUAUUGCCCUCAAUCAGUUCAGACUUUUGGGUGAAUUGGUUGGCGCAUCCAAUUAAUUACUUAGAACUUCGAGAAUGGACAACACUGGCUUUGAAGUUUGCAAGGCCCGCACACAUUUUGAGGUCAUCAAUUUGACCAAUGACAUAUAAGCUAUUUCCCCAGUUAGACUGAUGACCUCAAAAUGCGUGAGGGCCUUAAAUACGUUGAUGGAGGGAGUACUUAGUCAACAAAUGAACAUGCAUGUGCUUUGCCUCCAAUUGCAUGAAACAUUUGGCAGUCAAUGAAGAGCUUCAGGUACAGCUCGUACUUCAUGCAAAAGAACACCAUGUUUCAUAUCAAGCCCUACUAGAUAAGCUAAAAAUACGCCUGCCAGGAUGGGACGAACAUCGAGAACAAGUUUGAUACCUUUUAAAGCAUCUCCAGUUUUAUCUCCAUAUAGAACACCACUUAUGUAACAUCUUCUGAAAAUCAUUCUAUUCUCUGUCAAUGUCCCAGUUUUGUCGCUUAAUAUAUAUUCAACCUGCCCAAGGUCUUCGCUAAUAGCUGUGCUGAAAGAGGCACUUAUAUAAGAUCUAAGAUAUAAAGAAAACAGGUCUGAUGAACACCUAAUUUAUACAGAUGAAUAAACUAUAUCACAUACUUAGCUGAGUGGGCAGGUGUAUUUGUUUCCGGAUCAAACAUUUGAUCAUCACAAUCAAUAAAUUUUGCGUAUACACCUUUAGCCAAAUCAAGAGUAACCUAGAAACACUAACAAAGUUAGGCAAUGGAACUUUAUUUAACACUAAGCAGAAGAAACCAUAAUAUAGUUAGUAGACAACUCUAACAGUGGAACACUCUACAGUUGAAAGAUCAGGCAAUUAAAACAUCAAUGAACAAAAUAUGAAAUGCACUAGUAAGUAGAAUUAAAAAAGAUGGUACCUCAUAAAUGAGGUUUUCCUCACAGAAAGAAUCAAUAAAGUUUGCAAUCAAACAUCUACAGAGAAUUUUUGUGUAAGCAUGAACAAGCCAAUGGUUACCAUGAUGGUGGCGGUGUAGGUUUGUUCGCUGAGAGAGAAUAGUUCAAUUGACAGUUUCUCUUACAAAAAGAAAAGGAAUAGUUCAAUUGGUAAGAAAAAUUACAACUCAAAGCUAAAAAUCUGCAGGUUAUGAUUGAUCCUGAUGACAUGUGAUGGCGGCACCUUGAAACUAAUUAUUCGAAUUAAAACAUUCAUUCGGAAACCAAAGAAAUACUACACUGGAACAUACAUUUGAAAUAUAUUUUUUACAAUAAUGCACGUGAAGAAAGAAAUACUACUAUACUGGGAAUGCACUUGGAAAAAUAAGUGUCACUUGCUUAUCAUGUCAAGGGGGUUAGUUUCGAAGAUGUGAACUUCAAAAGGCAAUAAUAUGAGCAAUAGCGCGAGCCUGAUCUCGGCAGCGUGUACCAAUGUCAUGCAAUCUCAAUCAUUCAAAAUUAGAGUUGAUGGCUAAUUUUUUCAGGCUUAAGGUUUUGCAAACUGGGCUUCCAAGCAAUGAGCAAAGCCCAGGAUGGAACUAGGAAAGAAAAUCCAAGGGGAGGUGCUGGGCUAAGGCCAUCAACUCUAUAUGUUCAAUCAAGAAUGGUGAACUGGCAUUUGCACAAAAAAUCUUAGUACUAUUUUCCAUACACUAUCAUGAAUGUGAAGGAUCAACAAAAAAAUCCUCUUGCAAAUUCUUUUACAAAUAAAGUUUCAAAAUCAGAGCUUUGUGCAUUCAAAUUUGCAAGCUGGAGUACCUCAAACAAACAGCACAAGAAGGGAAAAAAUCAACUUAUAAUCAUACCUUUAUGGAAAUCGGAAUCAUUAUUGAACACAGUAGUUCAAAGCGCAACGGGAUAACCAAGAAAUCGUACCAUGGUCUUUCAGCAGGAUACAUGAGAUACCAUAGCUACACAAAAGGACACAAAGUAAACUAAUAAUCAGAUCAAAGAAAAAAUAGAAUAAAGUUCAUUCAAUCCCUUGCAGAUCUAGAUUUAAGAGUAGGAGAAAGUCUACAGUUAGCCCCUCAACUACUGGUUCAGUUUAAUUUACACCCGGAACUUUAAAACCAUAUAAUUUGCACCUACCGAAACCGUUUAUAUUAGGUCCCAAGACCGAUUUCAUACGCAUUUUUGGAUGGCAUGGCUGUCAGAUCAUCAAUCCUACCUGGACAGUAGGCCCUACACGUCAGAGAUAAGAAAACUGUAAAAACGACUCUUUUUCUCCUUUCUCUAUCCUCCCCCAUUUCUCUAUAUUUUUCCUCCCUCCAGCCACCCAAUCCCAGCCUCUGGCGAGCACUCGAGGAGAGGUUGCCUGCCUGGAUUAGUGCCCAAAAUGGUCUCACAUAGGGUUUUGGGACCCUGGCCUCUUUGGCUCUGAUAGCAGGAGAGUAGCAUCUGGAUCCCACAUGGUCUCUGCAGCUGCACGAUCUAGCGCUGGAUAACCGAAGGCUCCUAAGGAUUUCGGUAUGGAUGGAGGAUAUGGUAUUGGAGCUGGAACUGGCUGUGGCUGGCUGGCCGCCACCAAUAGAGAAGCAUCACACACUAGGACACUUCAGUCAUAGGCAAGCAUGACCAUGGUCCAUGGCAUCCUUCUCCACUUCAUCACAUCUGGACAAGCUUGUGUCCAUAACAGUAGAAACAAAGGAGCAAAAUGAUCGCAGCGACAUUACCAUGCCCUGGCUUCCUAGACAGCUCCAUUGUUGACACCCAUUCAUGAUGAGGCAGAUUCCCAGUGGUGCCAACUGCUGAGCACGACAGCUAACCAGGUCGUGAGGUUCCCGCUUCAGACAUCCUCAACAUAAACUUGGCCAUGAACCUGAAGGCGAGGGGGGGAGAUAGAAGUAGGAAGGGAAGGAAGACAAGAGAAGACAAAGAAGAGGUACAAGGGGUUGACAGGUGGGGUUAAACAGAUUUAUGAUGGUUUAUUUCUACACGCGCCUUCCCAAUGUUGGGUCCCUAGCAUGUAGAUUAUGAGUCCAAGGACUAGUCAAGAAGACUAGUCUAUGAGUCGCAACUCCAGGGCCGACUACACUUCAGUGUCGACUAGUCUAUGAGUCGCAACUUCAGUGUUGACUUGUCACGAUUAGUCAUGAUUAGUCUAUGAGUCUCAACCUCAGAACGACUCGUCGACUUGUCGACUCGUAAACCUAGGAUGGAUGUACAGCCAUCUGGUUUUAUUUUGCUUUUGCUUUUUGCCUUUGCCUUAGUUUUUUCCGUUCGCUGUAAAUUUUGAGCCAUCUUGGUGCCUUCACCUAAUACAAAAGAUACGCAUUUGAUGCAUGUUCGGGAGAUGGUUUAUUUCUGUUUUAGGUGGGGAUGGGACAGGUGGUUUGCAAGUAUUUGGCUAGGGGGGUAUCUGCACCAUUAUUCAGAGUAAGGUACUAAAGGGUACUGAAACUGGGGCUGCAAAUUGAACUGUCGCAAUAAUUGCUUUGUUGCCCCGCAAACCAUGUCAGUAGUUGAGGGGCCAAGUAGUUUUUUACCUACAGAAAGUAUAAAAACAUGCAUCGAAUGAAAGUACUACUGAAUUUGCUACUUAAGGACACUGCUUUCGUCGGAGAUAAAGAUCACCUUACAACCAUGGCUGUCCUUCCAGAUAUUGCCAGCAAGACCCAGCAAAAGAACAACAGCAAUUUGGAAAAUAAAUAUUGCAACGGUGAGUUUGUCUAUCAUUGAAUCAGCAGCGGUAAGCUUGGGCUCCGCAGUUCCCCUGCUCAUUCCUGAUUUGGUUUCAUUGCCUGACACAAAUGACAUUUUGUUUGGUCAGUUAAGUGCACACCAAAUGCCUCAAACAUGCAUCUUUGGGGUAGUAAAUCAAGAAUAGGCUAAAUGAAGUUUGAUAUAGCUAUCUCUACCUGUGUAAAUUGCAACUCCACAUGCCCAUUCCGUGUACCGUAAGUAACAUGACUGAAGAAGUGUAUUGUUGAUAGUUAAAGGACAUUUCUCAUUAUCAAUGAUAGGAGGGAACAAGCGCAUGUUAGCAUCAAAUCUUCUUAUGUCAUUAUCUGGGUUGGGGCACUCGACUACACCCUGCUCAAUCCAGAGACAGGCAAUCAGAGAAGGCAUGAGAAAAGGCCAAGAAUGUACAAGUACAGAAAGGCUCACCUUGAUUUUCCCCAAUUGCUCCGAUGACAGGUCAGCACAAAUUGAAGGGAUAAUUCUGGUUUUCAAAUCAGUUUCACCAUCUAAAGCUGCGGUCUGAAGUAAAAGUGAAAAAAAUUUGGCACUAUCAGUACUGACAACAGCCAAAGUAAAUUUUCUAUUUAGAUUAUUGUAACAGUAGGUAACAUGGUGGCUUUCAAGCUGCACAAUAUUUCUGUAAAUCAUCAUAAACCAAUCACAAAAGCGAAACAGAUCUAUUCCCAGAUAUAGAAGGAGAGUACAAAAGGAGCCUACUGAAAUUGAGAAGACUAUAUGGUGUGCACAAUAAAAGAGAGCAUUCUAGCACAAUUUCCUUCUGCGUACCAAUAAAUACGCACAGGUUCAUCUAUGCAAAGUUCUCAUAUACUCGAGAGUAAUAAAACAAGACUGCUGCACACGAUUAGCAGCCCUUCACGUGCAAAGCAGGUUCAAGUAACCAAAUUCGAACACAAAAAUAAAUGAAAUAGAUACAGUUCUGUUGACUUGUUUUCUUACUCUCAAUAUUGUUAAUGUGAAAGGAAAGAUAUAAAAACAUGAAAUUUUGCAUGCUUUUGACGAAAGACUGAAAUCUUAAAUCACAAACUUAAAAAAAUUAUCUAUAUUAUCUAUAAGUAUGAGUUGUAUUGAGAUACUAAUCACCUUUUAACAAUCCAUCAAACGUGAUCAACAGAAUGAGUGGAACUUUUCUUGCAAUGCCGAUAAGUUUCAGUUGUUUAUAUUGCAACUAGUGUUAAUUAGGCUGUGUUUGGUUGAACUUUUGCAGCCAGCUUCUGGCUUUUCAAAGCUACAAUCUAACCAAAGGGGUAAAAUGAGAAGCAGAAGUUGCAAAAUCUACAGCUUCCCCGCAGUGUAAUUUUCGCAGCAGGUGAACCCCCAACUUCAGUGAUGCAGUUUUAGCUGUCCCCUGAAAGUUUCAUUGUAUUUACCCACGUUUGCCACUAGCAAGUGAAAAACGAUUGGGUCCAAUUCCUCCCGAGCGACGCAUCCACCACGAGAGAAAAGAAAACCUGCUCGUUCCCCAUUGACCUGAGCGACAGCUAGGGUUCCUAGCCGCCGGCGCCGGCGCCGCCCAUUCGCCGCCGCGCGCCCAGCCGUCGGCGCUGCCUCCCGUGUUCGCCGUCCGCCUCCCCGCGGAGGCCUCCUUCGUUCUCCACUGCCCGGCGCGGCCUCCUCAACUACCGGCCUACACCACCGGAGCAGCUAGGGCCGCCGCGCACCCCGCCGCCUCCCGCAGCCCCGCUGCGACCUCCUCCAUCCAUUCUGCCAUGUAGCUGCACCCCUUUCCUCCCACUGCCCUUGUCCCCCCUCCCAUGUCCUGUACCAAGUAGGGUUUUUUUUUUUGCUCUGUUGGUAGUGACUGAAUUCAUGUGAAGUGAUGAACAAUGGAUGAUUUUUGAUAUAUUGAUGCAUAUAGCUUGUCAUAUUGUUGUAUAUUCAUGUAAAGUGGAUGACAUUUUGAUAUGUUGCUUGUCAUAUCGUUGUAUAUUGAUGUAAAGUCGAAGAAAUUUUGAUAGUAUUGUAGCAUAUUCUUGAUGUUUAGCUAUGUCUAUGGAGGUCAUCACCAUGUGAACCAUAUGUGUUUUGUAUGGUGCAUGUGUUUUGUAAUAAUAUUAUGGGAUUACUAUCUAUUUAAAUGUAUGCAACAUCAAAGUACAGUCGUUGUAUUGCCCAUGUGUUAGUUAUGAAUCGCCUACAUUGUCAUAAUUUUCAUUUGAAAAAUGAUCGUUCAAUUACCUACAAAUGUAGGUAUCAUUGCCUUACGGUCAAUAAGUAUACGGAAAUAUGAACUCAUGCCCUGUAACGCCCCGGAUGUGACUUUCCAUAUUUGUAACUCCAACUCUUGUCAUUUUCGGCUAUGUGUUAUGAUAUUCCCUUCGUGGUCGGGUUUUGUCUCUCGUUUUGCAUUUUGUUCAUGUCAUGCAUUUCAUAUCAUGUCAUCAUGUGCAUCUCAUUUGCAUACGUGUUCGUCUCAUGCAUCCGAGCUUUUUCCCCGUUGUCCGUUUUGCAAUCCGACACUCCCACAUGCACCGGCGCACCCCUCUUGUCUCUUUUCGUGAGCGGGUGUUAGACGUUCUCGGAAUGGACCGAGGUUUGCCAAGUGGCCUUGGUACACCACCGGUAGGCCACCUGUCAAGUUUCGUUCCAUUUGGAGGUCAUUUGAUGCUCCAACGGUUAACCGGGUAACCGCAAAGGCCUUUUGUGUGUUGCAGCCAAACACCCCUCCAAACAGCCCAAUAACCCAUCUAAGCCCCCUCCAUGCCCUCGGUCGUUCGAUCACGAUCGUGUGGGCGAAAACCGCACCUCAUUUGGAGUCUCCUAGCUCCCUCUACUUAUAAAUAUGUGAUCCCCUCCGGAUUUUUCGCGCAGUCCAAACCCUAGCCUCACCCCUCUCCGCCGCCGGACACGUCCGGCUCGGGAAACCGCCGCCGCGCCCGCACCAGUCAGGCGCCGCCACGUGGCCUCCGCCACCGCCCGCUNNNNNNNNNNNNNNNNNNNNNNNNNNNNNNNNNNNNNNNNNNNNNNNNNNNNNNNNNNNNNNNNNNNNNNNNNNNNNNNNNNNNNNNNNNNNNNNNNNNNNNNNNNNNNNNNNNNNNNNNNNNNNNNNNNNNNNNNNNNNNNNNNNNNNNNNNNNNNNNNNNNNNNNNNNNNNNNNNNNNNNNNNNNNNNNNNNNNNNNNNNNNNNNNNNNNNNNNNNNNNNNNNNNNNNNNNNNNNNNNNNNNNNNNNNNNNNNNNNNNNNNNNNNNNNNNNNNNNNNNNNNNNNNNNNNNNNNNNNNNNNNNNNNNNNNNNNNNNNNNNNNNNNNNNNNNNNNNNNNNNNNNNNNNNNNNNNNNNNNNNNNNNNNNNNNNNNNNNNNNNNNNNNNNNNNNNNNNNNNNNNNNNNNNNNNNNNNNNNNNNNNNNNNNNNNNNNNNNNNNNNNNNNNNNNNNNNNNNNNNNNNNNNNNNNNNNNNNNNNNCCCGCGGCCCGCACCUCGCCGGCCGGCCCCAUCCCUCCGGCAAGCUCCCCUCUCCGGCCAUCUCCUCCCCGCUCCGGCCACCGCGGGACGAGCUCCGGUGAACCUCGAACCGCGCGCCAGAUCUAGAUCCAGAUCCACGGUUGACCUCAUUUUUCUUCUCUAAGUCUUUUACUGUGUUAUUUUCAUGCCAUGUUCAUCACAUCAUAUCAUCAUGCUUGGUGCUCCGAUUUGUGCAUAUAAUAUGUCAAAAUGUUCACCAUGAGAUGCUCUUCAUUUUGUUCCAUUAUGCCAUGCUUGUUUGAGUUCAUCUUGAUGCCUAAAUCAUCGUUGCAAGAGUGCUAUAUGAUGUUUACUGCUGUCUGUUAACAGAACUUGAUGUUUUGUCAUUUUUGUUGCAUUUGAUGUGUGCAUCUUAUGGGCAUGAGCUCUACAUGUGUUUUGAUCUAGGUCAUGCCAUCUUUACAGGGGUGUAUGCCAUGUAUUUUUGUGAUCUAUGUGGUGACUAGCACAAGCAUGCAAACUAGGCUUCGUGAUGUUUCUGUUUUCAGGGACUUAGGAUUUUGCUAAGUCUUUUCCUGCUGUUAUUUUGAUGCCAUGUAUCCAUGUGGCUACAGUGAGAUCCAUGCUUCUUUUGAGUAUGUUCAGUAAGAAUAUUUUGGACAUAUAGAUAUGCUCUAUCCAUCCAUGCCCCUGUUUGCAAUUAUGGAGUGCCCUAGCAUGUCUCAAUCUUACUCUACUUUUGCUAUAAAAUGUUUCUGGCAGAAUGUUAACAUGCUAUUCAAUCUUGCCAAGGUUGUUGUAGUUGAUCCAUGCAUGCAAUGGACUUGUUCUUGCCAUGGUUAGCUUCAUGAACAUGCCAUCUUGCUGUUGGUAUGCUUGUUUUGUCAUGCAAUGCUUUGUGAUGAGUGAAUCGAGCUCACAAAGAUGCCUUCAUAAUUCUGUUAAUGCCAUGCUCUGUUUUCUGCUAAGUCUGAAACCUGUUAACGAAACUUGCUAUGUUUACAUGGGUGCCAUCAUAUCUUCUGUGCCUUUUUAGCUCAUGAUCAGUAAAGGACUUUUGUUCUAUGCAUUUAGUAAAUUCAUGCCAUGCCUUGUUUUGCUAUGACAAGUUCCUGUAGCAUGUUGAUUGCUUGCUCUGACCAUUGCUACCUGAUGUUGUUUAAGCCAUGUUCAGUAUUUUCACUAAGUUUGUGAAGCUGAUAUCUUUUGCACUUUUGCCAUGCUUGUUUGAACCUGUUAUAUUGUGAUCUAGCCGUAGCUCAGUGUUCAUCUUUUGUCAAGCAUCUCUUGUAGAUCACUGUCAUAUGCUUUGUUGCUAUGUCGGGGUGCUGUAGCAUAGUUACUUGAUGUAUUCUAAGUGCUAUCAUGCUGUUAAUCGCAGAAUUGUGUCAUUCUUGUUUUGCUUGCCAUUUGCAAACCGUGCAUCCAUUUCCGGUGACCUUUAUAUCGAUUUCGACCGAAAUCAUCUCAUCUUUCCAGCGGCAUACUUGGUUUGCCAAGUUGAUGCCUUGUUCAUCUUUUCCCUUCCGGAGCACGCAUAUGCAUUGCAUAUCACAUCUCGCAUAUCAUGCCAUGUAUUGCAUCAUGUUGCUUGUGCAUUUCCCGUGAUUGAUUGUUAGUCCUUUGCUUGUGUUCUUGCUUUGGGUAGAGCCGGGAGACGAGUACGCUUACGAGGAACCUGUUGAGAACGCUUACGAGGAUCAAGCUUUCGACAACUCUGAGAACCUUGCAGGCAAGAUGACCAUACCCUCGAAAUCACUUCUAUCUUUGCUUUGCUAGUUGUUCGCUCUAUCGCUAUGCUGCUCUACCUACCACUUGCUAUAUCAUGCCUCCCAUAUUGCCAUGUCAAGCCUCUAACCAUCCUUCCCUAGCAAACCGUUGUUUGGCUAAGUUACCGCUUUUGCUCAGUCCUUCUUAUAGCGUUGCUAGUUGCAGGUGAAGUUGAAGUUGGUUCCAUGUUGAAACAUGGAUAUUUUGGCAUAUCACAAUAUCUCUUAUUUAAUCAAUGCAUCUAUAUAUUUGGUAAAGGGUGGAAGGCUCAGCCUUAUGCCUGGUGUUUUGUUCCACUCUUGCCGCCCUAGUUUCCGUCAUACCGGUGUUAUGUUCCUUGAUUUUGCGUUCCUUACACGGUUGGGUGAUUUAUGGGACCCCCUUGACAGUUCGCCUUGAAUAAAACUCCUCCAGCAAAGCCCAACCUUGGUUUUACAUUUGCCUACCUAAGCCUUUUUCCCUUGGGUUUUCGCGAGCCCGAGGGUCAUCUUUAUUUAAACCCCCGGGCCAGUGCUCCUCUGAGUGCUGGUCCAAACUAGAGCCACUUGCAGCGCCACCUCGGGGAAGCUCGAGGGCUGGUUUUAGUUGUACGUAGUGUUCAUCCGGUGUGCCCUGAGAACGAGAUAUGUGCAGCUCCUAUCAGGAUUUGUCGGCACAUUCGGGCGGCUUUGCUGGUCUUGUUUUACCAUUGUCGAAAUGUCUUGUAAACCGAGAUUCCGAGACUGAUCGGGUCUUCCCGGGAGAAGGAAUAUCCUUCGUUGACCGUGAGAGCUUAUAAUGGGCUAAGUUGGGACACCCCUGCAGGGUAUUAUCUUUCGAAAGUCGUGCCCGCGGUUAUGAGGCAGAUGGGAAUUUGUUAAUGUCCGGUUGUAGAGAACUUGACACUUGACUUAAUUAAAAUACAUCAACCGUGUGUGUAGCCGUGAUGGUCUCUUUUCGGCGGAGUCCGGUGCUCCUCCGAGUGCUGGUCCAAACUGUUAGAGUUAUAAUAUAGGUCAUGUACCCCUUUGUAUUUAUCCCGUUGUAUAAGGGGUUUCCUGCAUAUGUUCCACACCUGUACAUGUAUAUAUAUCGGCCUAUGGCCUCAUGGGAAUACAAGUUGCUUAUUCCUAACAUGGUAUUAGAGCUUUAGGUUUCUUUUUUCGCACGCGCAACUCGUGCUACGAUCCCAUCCCGCCGCCGCCGCGUUUUCUCUCUCCGGCUGCUCCACGCCGUCCGCCACUCUCGCCUCGGCGCCGCUGCUGCGCCUCCUGCUCCCAGGUGCCAGGGCGGAACGCGGUCGCGCCGGUCCUCCCAGCCACGUCCGCCACUCCCGCCAGGCGCCGUUGCUGCGCUCUCCUUCCUCCACAUACUGCGGCCGCCGGUAUCCGUCGGGCUCCCGUUACCUGCGGACCUUCAAGGCGCACGCAGUCACGCGAGGGCGGCGGCAGCAUCCGCUCAGUGUGCGGCUCCUCGUGAGCCCCAGCUCCACUUCCCGCGGCCGCCGUUCGUGGAACCGCCGUGCGACUCCUUCUCGUCUCCGCUUUCCCUCGCGCAGAUUAAAAAAAAACAUGUCUGCUGCAUCGGGCUAUGUUUCUGUCCCUCGCUGUCCGGUGAUCUUUGAUGGUACUAACUACACCGAGUUCGCUGGCUUCAUGCGCAUUCACAUGCGUGGCAUCCGUCUCUGGGGUGUUCUUUCUGGCGAGGUCUGCUGUCCGCCACGUCCGGUUCCUCCGGUGGCCCCUACUCCGCCGACUCCACUGGUUCUUCCUACGGAUGCUAAUCAGGCCGCCAAGGAUGCGGCUAAGCUUGCUGAUGAGGCUGCUGAUCGUGCCUAUGAUGAGAGGGUUUUGGCUUAUGAGGAGGCUCUUCAGACGUAUCAUGGUGCUUUGUCUGUUUACACCCAGUGGCUUGAUGAUGAUGCUCGUGCUGCAGCUGUUCUCACUGCUAGUGUUCUGCCUCAGUUUGCUUAUGAGUUUCUGGGUCUUCCUACUGUCUUCCAGAUGUGGACCUGUCUCGUCAGCGCUAUGAGCCCUCUGGUGAUGCCUUGUACCUUUCUGUGGUUCGCCAGGAGCAUGCUCUUCAGUAGGGUGACUCUACUGUUGAUGACUUUUAUGCACAGAGUUCUGCUAUCUGGCGCCAGCUUGAUUCUCUCCGCAGUGCUGGUUGUCGUACUUGCCCCUGCUGCCAGGCUGUCCAGGCCAAUUUGGAGUUUCAUCGCGUCUAUGAGUUCCUGUCUCGGCUCCGUAAGGAGUUUGAACCCCGGCGUGCUCAGUUGUUUGCUCGUGGCCGUAUUUCUCUCAUGGAGGCGCUUUCAGAGAUUCGUGCUGAGGAGACUCGCUUACGUGGUGCUGGUUUGCUGGAGGUUCCCUCUGUGCUCGCUACUCGGGCUUCUUCCACUCCACCUGCUGCACCGCCCCAUUCUCGCUCGAGUGCUCCGCCGCUCUUGCCCACUCCUUCUGGAGGCUCAGGUCGCCCCCGUCCACAUUAUGACUACUGCAACAAUGAUGGUCAUAUUGAGUCCCAGUGCUACACAAAGCGGAAACACCUGCGCAAGGCGCGAUCAUCCUCCUCAGGGACUUCGUCAUCUCCCUCGCCAGCUUCAGCCAUUGCUUUGACCGAGCAGGAUAUUCUGAGACUUAAGCGUCUGCUCGCGGCUUCAGGUUCUUCCUCGACGGGUACUGCUGGUUCUGUGACUGAUGCUUCCCGCACUGAGCACCCGCCCUCUACACAGUCAGGUACAUCCCCAUGGGUUCUGGACUCUGGAGCUUCUUUUCGUAUGUCUUCUCAUUCUUCCACUUUGUCCUCUCUUCGAUCGCUGGAUUCUCCUGUUCAUGUCUUCACUGCUGAUGGUACUCCACUUUCUGUUGCUAGUAGAGGCCAUCUUUCCACUCCUUAUUCUGUUCCUGAUGUUGCUCAUGUUCCUCGACUUACCAUGAAUCUGUUUUCUGCCGGUCAACUUACUGAUUCUGGUUGUCGUGUCAUCCUUGACGUUGACUCUUGUUCUGUCCAGGAUCGUCGCACGCACACUCUGGUUGGGGCUGGCCCUCGCCGCCGUGAUUCUCAGGGUCUUUGGGAGUUGGACUGGCUUCAUGUUCCUUCCACUGCCACCACCAUCGCCAGUCCCUCCGCUGCUGUCGCCUCUGUUACUGGUUCCUUCAAGCAGUGGCAUCAUCGACUUGGUCAUCUGUGUGGUUCUCGGUUAUCGUCUUUAGUUCGUCGAGGUCUUCUGGGGUCUGUCUCAGGAGAUGUCUCUUUAGAGUGUCAGGGUUGUCGUCUUGGCAAGCAGAUUCAGUUACCAUAUUCACAUAGUGAGUCAGUGUCUAAGCGUCCUUUCGAUUUAGUCCAUUCUGAUGUAUGGGGUCCGGCUCCUUUCGCUUCGAAAGGUGGUCAUAAAUACUAUAUUAUUUUCAUCGAUGAUUUUUCUCGUUACACAUGGCUUUAUUUCAUGACUUCUCAUAGUGAGGUGUUGUCUAUUUAUAAGCGUUUUGCUGCCAUGGUUCAUACUCAGUUCUCUUCACCCAUUCGUGUUUUUCGUGCUGACUCCGCUGGCGAGUAUAUCUCUAAGAUGUUGCGUGGUGUCCUUGCUGAGCAGGGUACUCUUGCCCAGUUCUCUUGUCCUGGUGCUCAUGCUCAGAAUGGCGUGUCUGAGCGCAAGCAUCGUCACCUUCUUGAGACGGCUCGUGCGAUGAUGAUCGCCGCCUCUCUUCCGCCUCAUUUUUGGGCCGAGGCUAUCUCCACUUCCGCCUAUCUCAUCAACCUUCAGCCGUCCGCUGCUUUGCAGGGUGGUGUUCCUUUUGAGCGUCUUUUUGAUAGUUCUCCCGAUUAUUCGAUGCUUCGCUUGUUUGGUUGUGUUUGCUAUGUUCUUCUUGCCCCUCGCGAACGCACCAAACUGACCGCUCGGUCUGUUGAGUGUGUCUUCUUAGGCUACAGUGAUGAGCAUAAGGGCUAUCGUUGUUGGGAUCCUAUCGGUCGUCGGAUGCGUAUCUCUCGAGACGUGACUUUUGAUGAGUCUCGUCCUUUCUACCCACGCCCAUCUUCCUCGAUUUUUUCAGUGGAGGAUAUCUCUUUCCUCACUUUUCCUGACUCACCUAUCACCCCCGUCGCGCCUGUGCCUAUUCGUUCCACUCCCUCUGCUUCUCCACCCCUCGUCGAUUUGCAGCCACCAUCUUCCCCGGUCUCCUCACCUAGCAUGUCACCGGAUUCUACACCUUCAUCUCCGGUGACUUCUUCGUCGCCACCCCCCGAUUCUACCUUGGCAAUUCCUCCUUCUAUUGUUCCAUCUUUUCCUCAGCAUUACACUCGUCGUUCACGACCUGUGGAUGCUUCCUUGGAUGAGUCGUCCUCUUCCUCUCAGCCUACUUAUGGCUUGCAUUCUCGUCCUCGUCCGCCUAUUGAUCGCUUUGGAUUUCCCACCGCUGGUGCUGCUGUUCUUGAGCCGACUUCUUACUGUCAGGCUGUUGUUCAUCCUGAAUGGCAGUUUGCGAUGGCAGAGGAGAUUGCUGCUCUUGAACGCACUGGUACCUGGGAUCUUGUUUCUCUUCCUCCCGGAGUCCGUCCCAUCACUUGUAAGUGGGUCUACAAGGUUAAGACUCGCUCUGAUGGUUCUCUUGAGCGUCACAAAGCUCGUCUCGUGGCUCGUGGUUUUCAGCAGGAGCAUGGUCGUGAUUAUGACGAGACUUUUGCUCCUGUGGCCCAUAUGACCACUAUUCGUACACUUCUUGCCGUUGCCUCUGCACGCCACUGGUCUAUAUCUCAGCUUGAUGUUAAGAAUGCCUUUCUUAAUGGUGAGCUGCGUGAGGAGGUGUACAUGCAGCCACCACCUGGGUAUUCUGUUCCUGAUGGCAUGGUAUGUCGUCUUCGUCGCUCUCUCUAUGGCCUUAAGCAAGCCCCUCGCGCCUGGUUUGAGCGUUUUGCCUCUGUGGUCACUACUGCUGGUUUUUCAGCAAGUGCUCAUGAUCCAGCAUUGUUUAUUCACCUUUCUCCUCGUGGCCGGACUCUUCUUCUUCUCUAUGUUGAUGACAUGGUCAUCACUGGGGAUGACCCCGAGUAUAUUGCCUUUGUAAAGGCCCGUCUUAGUGAGCAGUUUCUUAUGUCUGAUCUUGGACCUCUUCGCUACUUUCUUGGGAUUGAAGUCUCUUCUACCUCUGAUGGCUUUUUUAUAUCCCAGGAAAAGUAUAUCCAGGAUCUUCUUGCUCGUGCUGCUCUUACUGACGAGCGCAUUGUUGAGACUCCUAUGGAGCUCAAUGUUCACCUCCGUGCUACUGAUGGUGAUCCUCUCCCUGACCCGACGCGUUAUCGUCAUCUCGUUGGCAGUCUUGUCUAUCUAGUUGUCACUCGUCCGGACAUCUCUUAUCCGGUUCAUAUUCCGAGUCAGUUUGUCUCUGCUCCCACAUCGAUUCACUAUAGUCAUCUCCUUCGUGUUCUCCGAUAUCUUCGGGGCACGAUCUCUCGCCGUCUAUUCUUUCCUAGCUCCAGUUCUUUACAGCUUCAGGCCUAUUCGGAUGCGGUGGGCUAGUGAUCCUUCUGAUCGCCGUUCACUUUCUGCUUACUGUGUUUUUCUUGGCGGUUCUCUCAUUGCCUGGAAGACGAAGAAACAGAUUGCAGUUUCCCGUUCGAGUGCUGAGGCUGAGUUGCGAGCCAUGGCUCUUUUGACGGCAGAGGUGACUUGGUUACGGUGGUUACUUCAGGAUUUUGGUGUUUCUGUCACUACACCGACUCUGCUCUUAUCUGACAGUACAGGUGCUAUUAGCAUUGCGCGCGAUCCUGUGAAGCAUGAGCUCACCAAGCAUAUUGGUGUUGAUGCUUUCUAUGUGCGCGCUGCUGUGCAGGAUCAGGUUAUUGCUCUUCAGUAUGUGCCUUCCGAGUUACAGUUGGCGGAUUUCCUGACGAAGGCCCAGACUAGAGCACAACAUGGCUUUUAUCUCUCCAAACUCAGUGUUGUUCCUCCACCAUGAGUUUGAGGGGGGGUGUUAGAGUUAUAAUAUAGGUCAUGUACCCCUUUGUAUUUAUCCCGUUGUAUAAGGGAUUUCCUGCAUAUGUUCCACACCUGUACAUGUAUAUAUAUCGGCCUAUGGCCUCAUGGGAAUACAAGUUGCUUAUUCCUAACACAAACUAGAGCCACUUGCAGCGCCACCUCGGGGAAGCUCGAGGGCUGGUUUUAGUUGUACGUAGUGUUCAUCCGGUGUGCCCUGAGAACGAGAUAUGUGCAGCUCCUAUCAGGAUUUGUCGGCACAUUCGGGCGGCUUUGCUGGUCUUGUUUUACCAUUGUCGAAAUGUCUUGUAAACCGGGAUUCCGAGACUGAUCGGGUCUUCCCGGGAGAAGGAAUAUCCUUCGUUGACCGUGAGAGCUUAUAAUGGGCUAAGUUGGGACACCCCUGCAGGGUAUUAUCUUUCGGAAGUCGUGCCCGCGGUUAUGAGGCAGAUGGAAAUUUGUUAAUGUCCGGUUGUAGAGAACUUGACACUUGACUUAAUUAAAAUACAUCAACCGUGUGUGUAGCCGUGAUGGUCUCUUUUCGGCGGAGUCCGGGAAGUGAACACGGCUUGGGUUAUGUAUGAACGUAAGCAGUUUCAGGAUCACUUCUUGAUCACCUCUAGCUUCGCGACCGUUGCGUUGCUUCUCUUCUCGCUCUCAUUUGCGUAUGUUAGCCACCAUAUGCUUAGUGCUUGCUGCAGUUCCACCUCAUUACCCCAUCCUUUCCUAUAAGCUUAAAUACUCUUGAUCUCGCGGGUGUGAGAUUGCUGAGUCCUCGUGACUCACAGAUUCUACCAAAACAAUUGCAGGUGCCGACGAUACCAGUGCAGGUGACACAACCGAGCUCAAGUGGGAGUUCGACGAGGAACUUGGUCAUUACUAUGUUUUGUUUCCUGAUGAUCAGUAGUGGAGCCCAGUUGGGACGAUCGGGGAACUAGCAUUUGGGGUUAUCUUCUUUUCUUUUGGAUUUGACUGUAGUCGGUCUAUGUGUGUAUUUUGGUUGAUGUAUGAAUUAAUUUAUGUAUUGUGUGAAAUGACGAUUGUAAGCCAACUCUCUUUAUCCCAUUCUUGUUCAUUACAUGGGAUUGUGUGAAGAUGACCCUUCUUGCGACAAUACCUGCAAUGCGGUUAUGCCUCUAAGUCGUGCCUCGACACGUGGGAGAUAUAGCCGCAUCAUGGGUGUUACAUGCCCCAUGGGCAAUAUAGAAAAUUCACGGUCAAAUCUACAAUUUCACAGCUGUUUUACCAAACAGCUUCCAGCUUUUCCACAGCAGCAUUUUCACAUCAGCUUUUCUACAGCAGCUAUUCCACAACAGCUUUUUCAGAAUCUACAGCUCAACCAAACACAGCCUUAGUCCAUUAAUCAUCACUACAAAACGACCAGAUAACCUCAUGUUCAGUAUUUUUGUUUUGUUUUAACUGUGAAAAUUAAAAUCUCUCAAACACUGCCUCUGUUUCGCUAUCUCCCUCCAGUUUCACCGCCUCGUACCCUUUCCUAUGUUUCAUCAACAACAUGUUUAAUUUGGACAAAAUUAAUAAUCAUCCGCAAGAAUUUUGGAAGAGUUGUUUUUUCAGCCUUAUAUCAUUCUUCAACCAUCUGUCAGUGGUUAGUUCAGUUGUUACAUUAUAUCCUGCGAGGGAUCUACACUGCAUGUGCAGGAUAGCGUAUUGCAAGCACAGGAAAAUUUUAAGCCCACAUAUAGAAAUGAUUGUAGAGUUCCAUGUUAACUUGAAAACAUUGAUUCAAGAAGUUUCAGAUAACAUUCAAGAAAAAGAAUCAGAUAACAUGCACAUCUUGAGAGCAAAUAAAUGAAUUUCAUAUACAAAAAUAUAAAAUAGAAACAAAAUUGUAAGCACGACAAAUGAAAUUAGAUAGUAAUUAACUAGGAGAUGAUAAGUAAAAUGAAGAGCCUAUAAGCAUACGAGUGGCUAAGGGAGAUAUGGCAUUGUCCACAACCACUGGAUGGAUGAUUAUGAGAUAGGAUCAAAGAUUUCGGAUGGCUCAGAUAACUUGUGCCUUUAUACUGGUUUAGCUACAGAUAUAUGCUUGAGUUCAAGGUGUGGAAUCUACUUAGAUAUAUAUUUAUGAUUACAAAACACUUUUUACAUGGCUCCGGAGAAGUGGUUGUUAUUAGUUAACAUAUUCAGCAAGGCCCAGAUUUGUAGUGGUCACAGUUCAUGGCUCUGCACAAACAACUGCGCCCGCACAGAUAAGGAAGUGGAAGCGGUGCCUGCGACAGGGUAUAACACAGGAGGGCAGAAGGUGGUGCCUGAGAUGGGGUAGAACAUAAGAGGCAAAGCCUGCAACGGGACAGACCACAGCAGGCAGCACUGCCAUGGGGCCAAACAACAGGAUGUAAAGAACAGGAGGUGAUCCGGCCAUAUGGCAGAACAGGACGACACAAGUGGAUUUCACCAGCGACGGCGACACAGCAGGUCAACGGAAUCUUGCAAAAACGAUGUAUUGAUGGGGGCGAUUUGGUAUCAUCAGAGUCGAGAACUGUGAGGGCAAACAUUUCCAUGCAAUUCGAAGGACCUGAGCUUGGUACUGGGCAGGAUUCCUAGUUGUCAACCAAAAUCCAUGGAGGUGGGUCCCAAAUGCUAUUCCGAUUUCAUUAUGAUCCAAACAACUGGUAUUACUGAGAGGCACAAUUCCUGGUCCCCAAUACUCAGCUUAAUUCCAAUAUCCCAGUAAUUGGUUUACCUUCUAGCCAAGCCAACUACUAAAAGGAUUCUGAAGGUUAAUUUCUUCUAGGUUAAACAACCAUGCCAUAUAACUCCAUAAAUUUGUUAAUUAACUCGUACUAGCAGAGUGUCUACAAAAAUAAAAAUGCUCACUACUACCAGCUUGCAUUUUUCACCUUCCUGUUUCCAAAUAUUAUUACUGUAUAGUCACUAAAAUUUCUCAUCACAUAUUAGGAAACUUGGUUUUAUAAACUGGGAAAAGAGAAUUUCGAUGUUCAGAUUUCAGAUUCUGCAAACAUUAAAAUGUAAUAAUCGGGCCAUCAGAAGGGUAGCAUCAGAAUCAACAUUCAUUAGACAAAUAUGACCUCCAGCAUAUCCUGUUGAAUUGACAUGUCAAGGCAUUUCAGAUGAAUUUAAUAUGCACCUAAGCAAGGCCAUGGCCACCCAAGUGAGUCCUAUCACACAUAUCAUGUAGCAGGAAUACCAAAUAAACAUAUUAUCUAAUGUUUGUUAGUAGAAUCAUUUACCUCAACAUAACAGAUGCCUUGAGGAUCAGAAGUUCCAAUGAGAACAAGAUCACAUGGGAUCUCAUCAUUCUCAUGGAGCCACACUAUAUUUCCGACAUGUAUCCCCCUUGCUUUGAUCUGAAAAUACAAAUUAGUAUUGUACAAUCAAAUAUUCAUCAAUCUAAACCCAAGUAGCCCUAAGUAGAACCAUUUGAAAUAGGCAGAAUUGUUCUACGACAACACAAAUGUGUGGUGGUUGCUGAACGUCAAUCUAAAAUCAACAAUUCACUGAAGACUCUACAAAAAAAUAUGGUCAUUUACUAUAGAAGGCCCAGUAAAAUAUUGUUGGUUCCAAAUCUAGUGAAGAGAAGAUGUGUAGGAUGUCAAUCUUAGAUCUUAUUCAGUUCGAUACGUCCAAAUAUUGAAAGAACUCCUAACAAUUAGCCAUCAAAUCUGAUAAUUCGACCAUCUAUAAUCAACUAUUAAGCCUUUGAUUAGAGUAUUUGACAAAUAAGAUUUUUCCUCAUCCCUGCUCUCUCCUAAAUCUCAGAAUAGUAUCUGUUUUUCAAGGGACAUGGCAUGUUCUGUCAAAUGACCAUGAUUAUUGAUUCUGAAAUGUUGAUUACAAAAUAAUCAAUUGUUCAGUGUCCUCAGCAAACAUCAUACUUUUGCAGUGUCCCAGAGUUAAAUUUUCCUAAGAAAUACAACUUCAUCCAUUUAGCCAAACAUGAAAGAUACACUGACAAGUGACAACUCCUAUAAUCCGUUCACUCUCGCUGAUAUCGAUGAUCCAUAAGGCACACGUAACAAUGCACUGUUAGGUCUUUACAGUACACAGAUGGACAUACAAGUUCCAGCACAAGCAAUAGCUAAGCAAAUUACAAGUGAGUGCAAGAAACUUCAAGCUUUAGGCUUUAUACUUUGAAACAAUUUGUGGUGCCGACUGCCAAACUGAACAAUUGAUAUCAGAUUAUGGCUGACAAACAGAAGUGAUGAUGAACGCAAAUAUUGACACAACUUGUAACAGGCUAAGGAGGAUGUUGAAUAAAUGUUGGUAGAGAAAGGGGGGAAAACCUGUCUACGGAUGCCAUCCUUUACCACCCAGAUUCUCCUUUCAUUUACUUUCUUGUCGGAAAGAUACCUAUUGUAAUCAUCCCAAGCCUCUUUUGAAGCAGAAACAAUGAAGAUUAUGGCAAGCGGGCCCCAUGUAGUUGCAGGACUUACAGGAGUAAUAGUGGGCCACAACUGAAGGCAGGCGAUUAGCAGAAAAUACUGAUUCAUGAAACGCCUGAAAUAUUUAGAGAAGUGAACAUGGAAGAAAUGUAAUUUAAUGCAGAAAUAGUGACGGAAUAAAUUCACUAGAAAAGGAAACAGGAUGGUUUUGUCGGGUUUUUGACAAAGUGCUAAAAAAGAUGAUGGGUCUCAUGUACGUUGCAGGUCAGAGUACCUAACUUGAAUGGUAGAGUGUGCAAAAAUACCAAAACAGUAUAAAAUAACUGAGAACCUGACCUGAAUUGUUCCAAUAAAUUCUUAGGGAGAAAAUUCCACAAGGUGUAUUUGGUAUUGGAAACCCGAUUGUCACGGUAGGAAUCCCGGCAGGACUCAUCGUUGAUAUAUACAAAACGUUGCAUUUUUCAGCUAGAUGUCACUUCCGUGCCAUUUAAUGCACUGCACAUUGAUCACUCUGACAGAAAGAGACAGUCAAAUAUGAACAUAAAAAGGGAUAUGAUAACGACAGUACAAGUACCAAAUUGUAAGAUAUGCUUGCGUUUGAGAAUGCAUUUUUAUGUGUUUCCUGAAAUUUUAAAUCCAGCUUAAUUCAAGAGAAGAUGAAUCUUGCAAAUCCUCGUGGCAGUGGCUAAUCAUGUAUCUACGUGCUGCUUCUCGGCUCUUCUUACCUAAAGAAGGCAGCACGCAACUGCUAAGAAAUCUAAAACAUACAGCCAUAUAUGGAUGCUACUAUGGAAACAAACUAUGCAUACACACACACAUUGGUUUGAGAUUUGCUAUAUAGAACUGCGCAGCCUCAUAAGGAGCAGAAAAAGUGAAAACAAAUUGCUACAGAUACAGAUUAGUACGCGAUGCCCCACAGAUGCUCUUAAGAAUGGAAUCCUACUAUCCCAAUCCUGAAUAAUGGGUAUCAAAUUGACGGGAUAUGCUCACCACACAUCGCAUUCCACUUCGCGUGCCCGCGAACGUCGUCGUCCGGUGCUCGGCGGCCGCGGCGGCGGCUGGGGGUGCCCUCUUCAAACCUGCGUCCUAGCGGAUCGCGGAAUCUUAGGGAAGAGGAGUCAGGGGUGGCCGAGACGAGGGUUGCGGGUGCGGGUGGCAGGGGGUGUCGGUGGGUCAAGGAAUCGGGAGCUUUGGCUCUCGGAGAAGACGCCGUUGGUGCCCUCGAGUCUCGAGACUCCGGAGUCUCUAGAGAAAGGCGGCGCCUCAAGGAAGAAAAAACGAAAUGGAAGAAAAAUAACGGGGUAUCAGCAUAUGCCCUUCCGCGGUUCCGCCCCUGUGUCUACAACCGGACCCCAAAAGCCCCGGAGGGCUGCGUCCGGACAAAAAAUUGAUGUCCAAUUGAACGCUCUACUUCCUUCGUCCGAUGAAAAGUGUACGUUUGCCUUUUGAAUUUGUCCAGAAAAAAGUGUACUUCUAUCUUCUCAAUACACUUUUAAAGGAGAAAAAAUGAUUUUCUCUCAUAACACGGUGAUCAAGACCAAUAACAUUCUACACUUGGUUUUCUUAAUUUCUACAUGAACUUAGCUCAUUGGGGUUGGAUAAUUAAAGAGGAGAGGGAUGGUGGCUUGCAUCUUUUCAAUGCAUUUUUUACUCCACUUCAUAAUUUAUCCUAAAAUUUCUAUAUGUACACUUUUCAUCAGACGGAGGGAGUAUUCGAUCCAAACGUUUGAACUGACCGGCACUUCUUAUAAUCGGUUCAUAUCUAGGGCAGAUAUGAUACGUACAGCGCUUGUUGUUUGACUCAUCGCUAGGGUCCGAUUUUAAAGAAGUCAUUAUCAAGCUUGAAGCAGUGGCAUCGAAGAACUCAUAGAUCUGACAUGCUCUCUUUGGCAUGCCAGAUUCAUAUAAUGGCAUCAUUAUGCUCCAACGAUCUCCUUUGUUCAAGAAACAUUAUGAUGGGGAAGCUUCACCAUGCAACUACACCAUCAACGGAAACAACUACACCAUGGGGUGCUACCUUACCGAUGGUAUAUAUUCUCAGUGGGCGGCAUUUGUGAAGACCGUAUCUGAUCCUGAAGGUAACGAACAAAACCGCUUUACAAUAAUGCAAGAGGCGGCUAGGAAGGAUGUGGAGAGAGCAUUUGGAAUGUUCCAAGCUCCACUACUAGAAAAUACAUUAUAGAUAGAUGCUUAGCAGUAGCGAGGGGUAUAUGGGCCGCGCUGCUGCUAAUUAGUAGUAGUAUGGGGUCUACACCCCUCUACUACUAAGUUGAUAGUAGUAGCGCGGGGCGUAAACCCACGCUGCUACUAAGUGGUCUCCACCAUACCCCUCGGGACAUCCUGUCCCUUUUUAAUGGAUUUACCCCGUGGAACCCGAGGUUUUUGGUGCAUAGUAGUAGCAAGGGGAAUAAACCCCGCGCUACUACUAAGUUGAUAGCAGUAGCGCGGGUUAUAAACCCACGCUGCUACUGAGUGGUCUCCAUCGUGCCCCUCGGACAGGCCAUAGUAGUAGCGAGGGGUAUAAACCCCGCGUUGCUACUAAGUACAAGGUUUUUUAACAGCCCUGAAAUCUCCCAUCUCCCCCCGAAUCCCUCCUCUCUCCAUAGGCUCUCCCAUGGGGCUCCUGCCCAUGCGCGCCUCCUCCUCCAUGGCGCCGAAGGAGGCCUCCGCCUCGCGCCGCCGGCGUCCAGGAGCUCGUCGGUCUUCCCCUGCGUCUCCAUGCCGCCACGCCGGAGCACCUCACCACCGGCGAUCAUCCCCGCUGCUCCCUCCAUCUCCUCCCUCUCCCCCUCAUUUCUCUUUUUCUCUAUCUUCCUCUGGUUUGACUCACCCUCCCAUGUCCAUGCUCGUGCAAGUCGUCGCCAUGGACGACCAGGAGCUCUCUGCCUUGGCCGCGAAGAGGAGCCCCACACCGCCGCCUUACUCUGCCCUGGAUCCGGGCUCCGACAGCCACCGCCGGAUCUAGUCUGCCACUACCCGUCUGCGCCUUCGGCGACCCCUGUCGUCGCUAGAUCGAACCAUUGCCGCCAUUGACAGCACGCACGGGGUCGAGAUUUUUUUUUUGAAAUUAAUAGUAGUAGCACGGGGUAUAGGACACUCGCUAUAGGACACUUGCUGUUUUCAGCAGAAUUAUCAUGGUGUUGUUUUUUGUGCGAAAAUAAAAGUUCUCAGAAUUGAGCAAAGACCCACCAUUAUGGCACGGAAAGUGGUGGGUUGCGGCGUUAAACCGCCAUUAACCGGAGCGGCGGCGCGACUGUCAUGGGUGUAAGUCUGACAAUAGUGUAUAGGGGUACGAAUUAGAGGGCAGAGCCUAGCUAGGGUGCAGUUGUUACACUCGGAUUUACGAGUUCAGGCCCCUCAUGUGUAGGUAAUAGCCCUACGUCUCGGUGCUCUAGAGCUGUUUUGAUGCAGUGUAUGGUUUACAGAAGAUGUGAACCCUUGUCACGGAGCAGGGGGAGGCUUAUAUAGAGUUCGCCCUCGCCCAUGAAUGUUGUCGUUACCAAGGGUUUAAGGAGGAGUUUAAGGGCGCCAGUUACUGGUAAUGGGCGCACUAAAUACAUUUGAUGAGGGCAGACGCACGUCCUGACCGUUAUGAUCCCGGGGAGCCUCCUGGUCUUCUCUAUCCGAGUGUUGACAGGUUCUCCAAGUGAAGUGGUCCGGUCGAGUGGAGUGCUAUCUUCCGAGUGAUUAGUGACUUCCAGUGACCGUCAGGUUGCAGAGUAUUUGAAUGCUGGUUUGGCCCUGGGGCCCAGUGUAAGGUGUGUGGUGUCCUAGGGUAGGGUCUGUAGGUCAGGCCUGUUACCCUACCCUUAGUACAUGUUGAUACGUCUCCAACGUAUCUAUAAUUUUUUAUUGUUCCAUGCUAUUAUAUUAUCCAUCUUGGAUGUUUAAUGUGCAUUUAUAUGUUAUUUUAUAUGAUUUUUGGGACUAACCUAUUAACCUAGAGCCCAGUGCCAGUUUCUGUUUUUCCUUGAUUUUGAGUUUCGCAGAAAAGGAAUAUCAAACGAAGUCCAAAUGAGCUAAAAAAUUACGGCGAUUUUUUAUGGACCAAAAGAAGCUCACGAAGCAAAAGAGUUGGGCCAGAAGAGCCACGAGGCCUCCACACGGGUGGAGGGCGCGCCCUACCCCCCCUGGGCGCGCCCUCCGUCCUUGUGGGCUCCUCGUGGACCCCCUGACUUGUUCUCGAUGCCAAAAAUUCCUAUAAAUAUAGAAACCCCCAGAAAUAAACCUAGAUCGGGAGUUCCGCCGCAAGCCUUUGUAGCCACCAAAAACCAAUCGGGACCCUAUUCCGGCACCCUGUUGGAGGGGGGAAUCAUCACCGAUGGCCAUCUUCAUCAUCCCGGUGCUCUCCAUGAUGAGGAGGGAGUAGUUCACCCUCGGGGGCUGAGGGUAUGUACCAAUAGCUAUGUGUUUGAUCUCUCUCUCUUUCUCUCGUGUUCUUGAUUUGGCACGAUCUUGAUGUACUGCGAUCUUUGCUAUUAUAGUUGGAUCUUAUGAUGUUUCUCCCCCCUCUACCCCUCUACCUUCUUGUAAUGGAUUGAGUUUUCCCUUUGAAGUUAUCUUAUCAGAUUGAGUCUUUAAGGAUUUGAGAACACUUGAUGUAUGUCUUGCAUGUGCUUAUCUAUGGUGACAAUGGGAUAUUCACGUGAUCAACUUGAUGUAUGUUUUGGUGAUCAACUUGCGGGUUCUGUGACCUUGUGAACUUAUGCAUAGGGGUUGGCACACGUUUUCGUCUUGACUCUCCGGUAGAAACUUUGGGGCACUCUUUGAAGUUCUUUGUGUUGGUUUGAAUAGAUGAAUCUGAGAUUGUGUGAAGCAUGUCGUAUAAUCAAACCCGCGGAUACUUGUGGUGACAUUGGAGUAUCUAGGUGACAUUAAGGUUUUGGUUGAUAUGUAUCUUAAGGUGUUAUUUUAGUAUGAACUCUAGGGCUGUUUGUGACACUUAUAGGAAUAGCCGAAUAGAUCGAUCAGAAAGAAUAACUUUGAGGUGGUUUCGUACCAUACAAUAAUCUUGUGACGCCCGGAUAAUUAUGCUACAGUAAACCUACGUUGAUGAUGCCACGUCACCUCUGUUAGUGUUGAUAAUCACGCGUUAGUUCAAAAACCAAUUCAAAUUCAAAAUUUAAUAAAAGGCAAACAAACAAAAGUUUUCAAACUUUAAAACUAAAAUGUUCGGGUUGUGUCAAAUAAUGCGCAGGUAAUUAUGGUGGAGAACCACACUUUUAUAAAAUGUUCAAAUAUUCAAAUGGUAAUAAAACAGUAGCAAAACUAUUAUUUAAAUACUUUAAAUACUAAAAAACUUACAAAGUAUUUUAUUUUAGGUGCCAAGUUAAUUGUGGCAGUGGACUAAUUAGUAAUACUAAUUUAGGUGCUCAUUUGGCAUUUUAUAAAACUAAAAUAAUAGGAGGAACAAAAUAUAAUAGAAAAGAAAUAAUUAAAAAAAACAACAAAAACCAAAAAAUAGAAAGAACUCCCGCUCGGCCCAACUGGGCCAUGGCCCAGCCAGGCCGACCCAACUCCCUCCCCCGGCCCAACCGCG